Molecule: long non-coding RNA, 75334 nt
Filed under: Cucumis sativus (cucumber)
Lineage: Eukaryota; Viridiplantae; Streptophyta; Magnoliopsida; Cucurbitales; Cucurbitaceae
Description: long non-coding RNA (CSAT_LNC001444)
Rfam family: small nucleolar RNA snoR128 (bases 5570-5660)
Source: RNAcentral
CCAAUCAUACUUGAAUUUAAUAAGAAUCACUCUCAAUCUUUCUUCGGCCUUCAGUCCACUUUUAUAAAGUUUGGUUUUGCAAUCAGCAAGAGUUUGAUGUCUUCUAUCAUUAUUACUCGGUCUUUGGUUAUCAUUACAAUCUCUGCUUGUGCUUCUUAUUAGAAAAAGAAAGAAAAAAACCAUUUCUGACUGUUGAAUAUUCUAUGUUUUUUUGUAUAGUGUCGAAAAAGACGGUUAAAGGUGGCUGUGGUUGGUGUUCCAAAAACUAUAGACAAUGACAUCUUAUUGAUGGAUAAAACUUUUGGUUUUGAUACUGCUGUUGAAGAAGCACAAAGAGCAAUAAACUCUGCCUACAUUGAGGUAACGUUCAUUGAUUUCAGUUGUUGUAUCAUUACUGGUGAAUUCAUGUGCAUGUUGAUCUUCCUUGAAAUCUCUCUCCUUAGCAGUAUAGUGUUACUUUUCUUCCUCGUUCUGGAAGUUGUCAUAUGACGACCAAUUAUAUGAUGUUAAUAACUAAGUAAAUAAUUCGGUGUAGGCACAUAGUGCUUAUCAUGGAGUUGGCAUUGUAAAAUUGAUGGGUCGCAGCAGUGGAUUUAUAGCAAUGCAUGCAGCACUUGCUAGUGGGCAGAUUGAUGUGUGCUUGAUUCCCGAGGUAUUCAUCGAAAUAUAAAUUUGACAUCUAGUUUCUAUUUUCUUGAUGCCAUACUGAUAUCACCAUAUGGUUCUUAGGUGCCUUUCCAAUUACAUGGGCCCCAUGGUGUUCUACGCCAUAUAAAAUAUCUGAUAGAUACAAAGGGGUCUGCUGUGGUCUGUGUGGCUGAGGGAGGAGGACAGGUAAGUUGGUAUCCUUAUUUUUAUCUUUCAUAGAUCAAAACUUCAUGAUCUGCAUAAACGUAUAUGAAUUUUAUAAUUUUUUUUAUACUCUAAUUAGCAUAUAUGAUUGGGGUUAAAUACACAUGCUCUGCUUUGAUUGCAGAAUUUGCUGCAAAAGACAAAUGCUACCGAUGCAUCUGGGAACAUUGUACUGAGUGAUAUUGGCGUAUACAUUCAACAAGAGGUUUUUAAUUUACUUCCAUGUAGAUUAAUGAUCGUGCUAACUGAUAUUUGAGAGAAUUUUAGAUGCUCUUUUUACAUUCAUUGGAAUACUUGGAAGCAGUAUGUCGUUUUGUUUCUUUAAAUUUUAUGGUUUAAAGCUGAACUAUGUGGUUAUUCAAAAUGAUGAGGAAAGCCAGAACUUUGUUUUUGUUUGUUGUGCCUUGGAAUUGAUCUGGAUUAUUCUGCUGGUGUAUUAACAUAUUGUACCAUUUUCCCCGCUUCUUCUUGCAGAUGAAGAAAUACUUCAAGGAGCUUAGUGUUCCAGUUGAUGUGAAAUAUAUUGAUCCGACAUAUAUGAUACGUGCUUGUCGUGCAAAUGCAUCUGAUGGGAUUUUGUGUACUGUAUUGGGGCAGAAUGCAGUGAGUCCUUUUUCUCUCCCUGUGUAUGACUUUAAUAACUGCUAUGUUUUCGCAUAAAUUGUGGUUGCAGCAUUGAAAUUUCCCCUUUUCUGGAAACAGAUAGGAAAAAGCAAUGAAAAAAAGAGAUUUAUUCGGAAAGAACUUGAGAACGAAUCCAUGAAAGAUAAUGACAUGCAUUAUUCUGUGCUCUAGUAACUUUUUGUUAUACAUUAGUAGUUAUGGUAUAGUUUCUCAAGUCUUCCUAGUUUCAUGGCGGGCUGGUUUUUGCUCGUUUUCGUUUUUGGUUUAUUUGAUUAGAAAUGAGAAGAAACUUUCAAAUGAAUUUAGAAAGGUCGUGGAAGGUGUGGGCCAUCUUAAUGGCAGCCUUGUUCGCAUUUUGAAACCUCAAUUGUUAUUAGAUUACCACUUGUAAUUCUUUUUCUUGUGUUUACCAUUUUUGGUCCAUCUGACUGUCUGGUGGACUACUUUUGAACUUCCAUUUCCAUUUUUGUCUCUCCAUAUCAUCUAUAGUUUAUCUAUAUUCAGUUUCAGGAGUUUCUUCCACUAAUUCUUCCUUGGACAUUGAUUGCAGGUCCACGGCGCAUUUGCAGGAUACAGCGGUAUCACAGUAGGAAUCUGCAACACACAUUACGUAUAUCUUCCGAUUCCGGAAGUGAUUUCGUAUCCCAGAUUAUUGGACCCAAAUAGCCGAAUGUGGCACCGAUGUCUAACUUCAACAGGUCAACCUGAUUUUAUCUAAUCAUCUUCCUUUAAUUUAUGCAAGAGAAACGAGGGAGCAGGGAGGUAGCUUCAGUUUCUUUGUUUUUGUUAAGUUAGGGCAGCGGGUUUAGUAGAAUAAAUAAUGGCGAGAGGAAAAUGUUAAGUGUAUAGCAUUAGUACUUGAAAAGAUUCAUUUAUAAUAAAGAGAACAUGGAGGGUAAAGAAACCAAGUUCUUAGCCUUGUUGCAUAAUAUUUAUUCAUUGUAUCUCAUAAAGAGAAACAUUGGUUAUGUUUUUAUUCUUGCAGAAAUGCACAUUACAAAGAGGACUGAUUUGAUAUAUUUAUUUAAUACAAAAACAUUCUCUGGUCAACAAAAUCUUUAUCUUUUAUGUUCACACCACACAUUUUCUCGACUGACAAAGUUGUCGAAAAAUGUACUAAUCUGCAUUGGGAAAGACAUUUUCGACGAAUAUUGGAUCAUCGGGGAGAUGUGAUCAGAAAAACCACGUAGGGAGAGGAACUCUCGACGUCGUAUCUCGCGGUGUCGGGAAUGAAUCCCAUGCUUGAUGGGCAAUUUUCAUCGUCGGGUGAUAUCUUUCAACAUAGUAUAAAUUUGUCAAACCAAAUGAUAUAUAUUAAAGAACCAAAUUGGAAUUUAACACAUGAAAAAGACAUCAUCCCCAAAUUGGAAUUUAGCACGAAGUUCAUUCGAGGUUAUGUCAUGUAAGCUCUAAGUGAGUGACUUAGUAGGCGACUAGACUAGGAACAUGCAAUAAAAAAUGUUUUUCCCAUCUAUGUGUUGCUAACUUUCUACAAUUUGCAUGUAGUACGAGAUUUUCUUCUUGCUUGCCUAAGUGUAAGCGAAACAAGAGAUUUUUGGGGUAAGUUAGGGUCGAACACAUAAAAUUUCUAUCAAGCUUUAGUUAUAAAGUUUACUCUUCAUUCAGGCAGUAUGCAAUAUCUAUACAGUGCAAAGUAAAAGUAUGAUUGUGUAUCAAAUCUAUUAUUCACACUAGAGAUUCUAUAAAAGGUGACAUGGAAUGGUGGGAAUAUGGAGAGUGAACUAACUUGUAUUAUAGAAAUGUGAAGAAAGGUCUCCACGUUGUAGGCAAUUAAGCCAUGCGAUAGAUAUUACUUAACCACUUCCAAUUGAAACAUACAUUUUUCAAUGCCUAAACACCACAUUUGCUCGCCUCUCGGGAUACAAAUAAUAAAGAUAAAUUAAGCGAUAGCUAUCUAGAUUUCAUUACUUGUAAGAGUCACAUUAGCUCUCUUUUAAGGGUGACGACCUCCUUGCGCCAAGUUACUACUUGUUCUCCCUUUGGGAAACAAAUGAUGGAGGUUUAAUUACUAGGAUGAAGUUCGUUUCCAAUUCUCCUUGUGCGCGUUUAGUCAUGUUGCUACUUACCAAUUCGAGCAGCUGGCUACAAAUGUUGGCCACACGACGAAGUAAAGCUCAACUAAACACAAUGAGAAGCAUAAGUAAAUAUCUCUUAUCAAGAGCUUAUCACAAACGUAACAACUUAUAACACUUCAAUGAUAAACAAUAAAUAACGAUAGAUUGACUAGGAAUAAAAAUGCAAUGAUGAAUAGUGAGCACUAAUUUUCAUUUAACAUUUCAAUGAUUUUUUUUACCACAAGAGUAGCUUCAAAACACUUAAAGUCAAAGGUAUGCAAGUAUUGUGUAAACAAAGAGCAAUGUACAAAGUGUUUUAUUUUUCUUUUUAAAUUUAACUUCAUAUCUAUUAACAAAAAAUAGUAUAUAAAUUGGUAUCAAAAUAAGUGAUUUUGAUGUACUAUAGUUCACAUUUUUUGUUUACAUUACAUUACACAAAAAAAUUGUGUUAGCUUAUGUGAACAAAUCUAAAUACAGAAAUAGAAAAAAACACAAAAUAUAUGUAAAUGUGGUCGAUUCUUUAUUUCAAGCUCCCUCCCUUUUCCUGUCCUUCCAUAUAUGAAUUUUUUUUUGCUAAUUCUAACUCCCAAAAUUCACUUAUUGUAUUUGUUUUAACUUUUUCAUGGUUUUUUUUUCAAUAAUUUAGGGUGGAGAUUUAAAUUCGAAACUCUUAUCAAAAUAUCCCAUUUUCUUAUUGGUUAUGGUCAAGUUGAUUUCCAAAAACCUUAUAAAUUAAAUAAAGAAAACUUAGGAUAUAUUUGAAAAACAUUAAUUUGCCAAAGUCCAAAAUAAUCGUAUCAAGCUUUAAAUCAAAACACUAACCAAGUAAUAGGGGAAGCCUACGAGAGCAAUCUAGAAUGAGACGACGCUAUAUAUAUGGUUAUCGUCGUUUCCUCAACCCUCAACCCUCAACCCUCAACCCUACCCUCCAAUGUUAUAAGAAACACUCAUUUCACCCUCAUCGCCUUCGCCCAUUUCAUUUUUAAUUUCAACCACUGUUUCGCCCAUUCCCCUCUCCCGCCAUGGCCAUCGACCUCUCUGCUUCCCCACCCCUUUUCUCUACUCUUCUCACCGGAAACCCCUACCUUCGCCCCAGGCCCGCUCUUCCUCUCAGAAUUGCCAUAUCCUCCGCCUUUACCACCUCCCUCCACUCUCGUAUGUUCUCCAUUCAUUACGUAUGAUUCUCUGUGUUUCUUAUGUUCUUGAUCACUUUAUGGGUUUUUUUUGUUUUUUUUUGUUUUUUCAUUCUUCUUUACUUCUUAUAUGACGAUGAAUUCAUUAGCGAUUUCCUUUCUUCUUAAUUAUUAUUUCCUAGGACAUCGUCAUUUUGCUGUUUCAUUGCCUAGAGCUGCAGCCUCUGAUGAAUCUAAUGGAUCUAGUUCAUUCUUUACUGAACAACGCGAUAGUGUGACAGUCUUGGAAGAUUCUCCUUCUGCUUCUUCACUCACUCUGGAAGAUUCUCCUCCUGAGGAGAUCCCUUCCGACGUACUUGCGGCAACGGAAGUACCUAAACAAGAACCGGUUGAAGAUGUGCCUGUGAUAACUCUGGACGAUUCUUCUUCUGCUGGGAAGGUUGAAAUGGUGACGUCUGAAGAACCUAAAGAACAACCACUUGAGGGUGCGCAAGAACAGGCAUUUGAAUUUUUGAAUGAUCUUAAAGUAAGAACCUUCAUUGAAUCUGAUUUGCGAUUUUUUGCAAGUUAAGUUUGUUAAAUCCGAAAGUAUGACAUAAUAUUUUUUUCAAGAAAAGACUGAUUUACAUCAAAGUAACUUGAUUUUUGCUUCUGUUGGUUAUUUGUUUAUUCAUUUAGCCAGAUUGUGCAGUGUUCAAUGCCAUCCUUGGUGUCUUUGACAAUUUUUUUAAUCAUAAUUGUUGAGUAAUUGGAAAUAUCUUCUAUUUAAACUUUUUCUGGGGCAUUUCCCUCUUUUUUUAAUAAAUAAAAAUAUUUGGGUUUUGUUUUUUUCUUCCCAUUUGUUUUCCUCAUUUUUUCUUCCUUGGAUCACAUUUUUAAAGUUAGUUGCAGUGAUGAUAUCAUGAAACUUGAUAGUAUAUACCAAUGCUACAUGAAACGUCGACAACUAUGUCGGCCUGAGCGGUUAAUCGAGCAACCUAACUCCUCUAUUUGAUUUUUAAUUGUUGUAUUUUUGUUCUAUUUAAAAAAAAUGUUUUUUUGUUUCUUUCUGCUUUGCAUCCAUUGUGUGUUAAACGUGCUGAUGUUUUCUGAUCGAUUUAAGCGGCACCUACCUCUAAGGAACAAGUUUUUCACAAAAUAUAUUGUUGUCCAUUCUGUCUUUGUUCAUAGGAAACUUUUUCAGCUUGGUUUUGGGAUUUAAAACUGGGAAUUUUGGUGUUGUCAACCCCCUUUCAAGUGUGGCGUUGAAUGUGAAAGAUAAUUUCGAAAGGGAUAUCACAUCCCCUUACAUAGCUUUGUCAACUUGGAAAAACCCCAUUUUCAUAUAACUGAAGUUGUAAUUGUACAUUUUUCAUUUUGGGAUUGCAAUAGCUUCACCCUGUGAAUGCUUUGAUGAUUACUUGUGCUUGCAGCUUGAGUCUGUUGAUACAUACAGUCUUGCCUUGUAUGGUGCUGGUGCUUUCUUUGGAAUUUGGUUGGUUUCCGCCAUUGUUGGUGCUGUUGAUUCCAUCCCAUUGGUAAAGUUUGCAUAGAAUUGCAUAAAUAAGUUUUAGUUUUUUGAGAUGUGAAUUUAUAACCAUGGAUUCUUGUAAAUAUAGGUACCAAAGUUAUUGGAAGUUGUGGGGCUUGGUUACAGUGUGUGGUUCACUGCUCGCUACUUGUUAUUCAAGGUAAUUGCUUGAAGUGGCUUGGUUUGAUGAAAACCUACCCUUUUCUGAUUUUCUCCAAAUAUGUGAUAAUUGAGAGAAUUCCUUUUGUGGGACGUUACAGGAAAGUAGAGAUGAAUUGGCUGCCAGGAUUGACGAGUUAAAGGAGCAGGUUCUUGGUUCAGAUUGACAACGGUUCGGUUGGAUAUAUUUUUCUGUCAUACCUAGGUAGUUAGUUAUGUUUGGGUAGAUAAAAGAUAGCUGGAUGUGCUGAUAAACAAUAUAUAUGAUAUAGAUGAUGAUUACAUUGUCUCUGAUGCAAAUAAGCAAAUACUUGAUUCGCUUAUAGAGAAAUGUUUUUCUAAUAUUGAGUUUGGGUGAAUUAAGGCCCAUUUUUCAGGAAGAGUUUGGUAAGAUGGUCGAUAGCUAUGAGAGAAAUGCAUCCAUUCCACUCUUCUAAAAACAGAGUCAAGUAUGAAACCCUUUGGAUUUUGGAAGGUAGGUUUUUAGGUUAGUUUAAUAAUAUAUUUUGUUCUUUAUAUACAUACACGUUUUGAGCUUAUAUUUUGAGUAAGGGUGUAUUCAAAAUUAAUGCCAAAUUUUGAUAGUUAAUUUGGGCUCGUUGAAUUAGAAACGCAGUUUAUUGAGCAAAAUUGCUUCAAAAUGAUGAAAACUAUCCCAUUUUAAGCUCUUGUUUAAAUGAUGUAUUAGGAUAUAUUUGUUCCUGGGUAGGGUUAAGGUUCUACCAACCACUCACCUCCCAUCCAACUCCUCCACUCUCACCUAAAAUCGCCUUAGACAUGGAAUCAUACAGCUUCUCUCAGCUACCUUCCUUCACUCUCUUUUGUCUCUCUUUUCCAUAUAACUUAGAAUCUACUCUUUUUCAUUUCUUUCAAAUCUAUCAUACCAUUAUGAUCAGUUUUUUUAAAAUAUAUUAUUAACAAACUAAAUUCUUUUUAACUUAUUUGUUUUCAGAAUUUGACCUCAAAAAUUUGGGAGAAAACAAACAUUAAUUUUAAUAUCUAAUAACAAUAUAUUAUUAAAAAUGAAACCAUUACCAAUUCAAGCCUUAGUUUCAAUUCAAAAGGAGGUCAUGCAUUUCAAUUACCACACUUUGCCAUCACAAAUAAAUAAUAGCAUCGAUUAAAAAUUGACCAGUAAUUAAUAUUUCUUUUCUUGAUGCAAUGGUGUUUCUUCCUCUUUUUCCUUUUUUUCUUUUCUUGAUGCCAAACGUCCAGAUGGUCCAGAUAUUUUUUGAACAUUAUGUAUAUUUUCUAUCAACUUUUUUUUUUUUAAUUCAUAUAUUUUAUUUAUUUAUACAAACAUGGAUUUUUGAAUGAAAUAAUCUCAAGCAAAUACUCAAUUCCUUUGAUCGCAUGGUCCUAUUUUGUCGCCCUGUAGUCUGUAAUGUAGAACCACUCGUGUUAAAUCUAAGAGCAUAACACUUGAGGAAUUGUACACUUGAGGAAUUGUAGCACACAAAUGGAAACAAAAAACAACCUUAGGCUAGAUCGUUGGUGUGUACACUCGGCCUAUUUCCUCUUGAUCUAUCAAACAAACCAAAGCCUCGUACUAAACAUAAGAUAAUACGGAAAAGAUAAUACUAAAAGAAUAUUUCACAGUUUUUCCAAAAAUUUUCAGAUUCAACAACCUAUGUUCAAGCACUCGUAGCAUCCUUAAUACUUGACCUAAAUUAAUGUACUUUAUAUCAAAAUCUAUAUUUUGAAACCCUCUACGAUUUACUAUUUGAACGAAUGAAAAAUAGAUUUCCAGAAAUUGAUCCAAACACCUACUUUCAGUCAUUUUUGGCUCAUGAUAUCAAAUAUCACUUUUAUUAAAUCACCAAUUCACCCAAAACCUGACAUUCCUAGACCAUCUGCUCUUAUACUAUGUUUGAUAGUAUGAAGUUCAAUCUCAAAACCAACUGGCAGUGAGAGGAGUAGCUCAUCUAUCUAAUAUGAAGUGUGAGUCUUCUUAGUUUUUUUUCAAUGUGGAACUCUCAACAUUUCCAGCAUGCCUCCUUAAGAUGAUGCCUCUUUGGGUUCACCUAUCUUGGACCGAAUACCCUUUGAGUUUAAUGGGCCUGGAUACCAUAUUAAAUCGUCAAUUCACCCAAAACUUUAAGCUGGUGUUUGAAGGAAAAUUUAAUUAUAUAUCAUUAACACUUCUAAAUCAAUUUGUACAAUACGAAAUACUAAAAAAAAAAAAAGAGACUUCAUGAAUUAGCACACAAAUAUGUGAUCUGAUUUCCUUUUCGAAAAUCAUAAAUUUAAAAUCAGAAAUUUGCUCAAGAUUCCUUCACAAAACUUGUUAUAAAUUAAAUAAAAUUUCAAAUAAAAUAAACCUCAUCUUUUAUAAUUUCUUCCAAGUUGUUCAAGCCGACUAAGAAGCCGGAGAUUAUCUGUGAACACUAACUUCUGCCAUGGCUGUCUCUUCCUUCAAGUUUUUCUUCAUCUCUUUCACCUUAAUUCACAGCCAUUUCCCUUCUUCUUCCUCAUGUUAUAACUCAGCUCCCUCUAAAUUUUUGGUAAAAAUGGAUAAAAAAGGGCUUAAGCAAUGGAAAAGUAUUUUAGAGAAAACAAAUUGCACCAAAAGCUUUUAUUCUCUCUUAUCUCUCUCUUCCUCUUUCUUACUUCUCUUUUAACAAAAUUUUUCCUUUUUUUUUUCUUUUUUAUUCCUAUACAUACAUACAUACGUACACAGACAUAUAUAUAAUUCCACUUUCUUUUUCUUUUUCUUUUUCUUAUAUCUUUUUAAAAGAACUUGAACCAAAAGGGUUGUCAAUUUUCUUCAAUAACUUAAAUUCAACUUUCUAUAACAAUGACAACAAAUAAUCCAAGAAAAUUAUGGAGUUUACAACAUAAGAGCUCUCGAACAACUUGAGCCAACUGGAAAAACACCAAAAACAAGUUGAACUGACCCAUAACAAGUUGAGUUGGCCUAGGAGCCAACCAUUGGGAUUGAACCAGCCCAAAAGCCAACUAUUCAACCAUCAGGUACAGGUCAACCGAGCAGAUGGGUCGGAUUGCAGAGUGGACGGGUGCACAAAUUAGGCUUCACACACAGAACGGUGUCAAACAUGAAACGUGAAGCGGGUCGAACACAAACGAAUCGAGCGUUCUGGUUUGGAAGGACGUGUCGUGCAUUACGAAAGAGCCACAUGGCGGAGUGCUGGGGCGAGAGACAAUAGGGGCACGAUCAUGUUCCAGAUCGAGUGAGGAACGAGUUUUCAGGCCUGAGAGCCAAAAACAGGUCUGUCUUGUAAUUUUCCUUAAAAUUUCAGCUUUUCUCUCUCCCGAUUGAUGCAAUUUCAGCAUAAUUUGGACUCUAAUAACUCAAAAAUUACAGACCCUAAGAAAAUCAUUAUAACCACAAAACCCGAGCCAAUUACAAUAAUUACGAACCAUAAGCUUAAUUUAGUUUCCCAAGACCAUAAUUUAUCCAUUUAAUUCAACCAUAAUUUAUCAAAUAAAUUGAAAGACCCACCAUAUAAAAUUGUGUAAACUUAGCAUGAUGGAACACAAGACAUGCACAAUGGACAAACAAGAUCAAUUUUACUCCAACUGCAACUAAACAAUUUAGUAAUUAACAUGCAUAAAUUACCCUAAUUAAAGAAAAUUAAGGUUAAUAGAGAACAUACCUUCGUACCUUCCCAUUCCUCGUAAUCUUCUCAUGAACUCGAAUCGAGGACCAAUGCUAGUGUUGAUUCGCUAUUCUUUGGACUUAAAACCGAGUUGUGGGACACGACAAGUGAAUGAAUGAAAGAGAGAAAAAUGGAAAAUGGACUAGGGUUGGAAGAUCUUAGGUAAGAUUUUUUUUCACUCUUUGUUCUAACUUCAAAAAUUAAAAUUUGGUAAAAGUUUCUUACAAUUUUGAAAACAAGCCUUUAAACAUGCGAAAGACAUGCAACUAUUGCUUGUAAAGAUUAAGCUAUGUUAAACACCUUAUUUUUCAUUAACAAUCAAUGGAAUUCAGUAGGCUCGUAUUUACAUCUCAUGUAGCUACUUAUCCCACUAAAUGUUAGUGGGGUUACCCAACAAAAUGUUUGAUAUUCUCACUAAGUUUAAUCAAAGAGCAAUAAUGAUCAUUUAACCAUUCAAGUCAAAGUCAAAACUCAACAUUUUAACUGUCUACCAUUUUUUUGUAUUAACUAAUUCCGACCUCCCAAGCAUGAAUCCACAUUCACUUUUUAGAAAUUCAAAUCACAUUUGAAUUUAAACUCUGUCAAAGUUUGACUUUUCAAAGUCAAAAGUCAACAAUUUGACUUUUUACAACUUUGACAAUUUUCAUCGCUAUUGAGCUUUCGAAUAUGAAUCAAUUUUCAUAUUUUUAGUAUUUAAAUUACAUUUAAACAUAAAACUCUAUCCAAACUGAUAACUGACGACUACAUCACAUAUAUUGAUCGAUUUCUCUCUUUUUACCUAAUUCAAACAAUUCAAAUUAUUUCAAAAUAUUGUUCUAAGUUAAUUCCAUAUGAGUUAAGAGGGGAACCUAAUGAACCUAUAGAUCAAGGGUUCCGACAAUCAAAGAUUAACUAGCUAAACUCUUUUAGACCAAACUAAUCAAACAUUUGUUAAAGUCUCGUAGUUGCACUCCUCUCACUAUAGAUAUAUUUGUGUUCAUUUAAUAUAAUCAUGAUCAAUAAGUUAUUCCUUUACAAAUAAUUCAUAACCUUGACUGUGUCAAAAUAUCGUUCAACUCCCGAGACUAUAUAUUGCUCCUAUAGUCUCAUUGAUCCAUUAUUGAAUAAUUAGUUUAAGGUCCAAUCUAUAAACCAAAUUAUCCAUCUCGCGCCAAUGAGAAAGUGAGGUCCCUUGUUCAAGACCUGGAUUCAAUUCUUAAGUGAACAACCUAUCUACCAACUCUAAAGCGGAUGGGAGUGAAUUUUGUCUUGCAUCCUAUGCCCAUAGCCAUUCACCCAUUCUUACCCCUAAAAUUAGAGGCUUAUUGAUAACUUGUAGAAAUAGAAGUUAUUGUUACCUUUUAUAUAAAGUAAUGAAGCCUUAUCGCAUAAGAACAAAAUAAAACAUAGAAAAAAAGUUGAGAAUUUGAUUAACUUGUAUACCACAUAUUACAAAAGAACUUUAUCAUUUUCUUUUUAUUACAGGAUAUUAAGUAAAAUAUAGAGCUUAGUGAUAAAACAUCACGUAGGGAGACACAUUUAACCAACAAGAAGACAAGGAAACAAGCUAGGCAAUACGAUGUACUAGCAGACAAAUUUUGUUGGCACGAAUGUCAAAAAAAUGACAAAAGAACAUCUGCACAACAAUGAUACAACUUUAAUCAAAAGCAUUAAUUAAGCAUGGAAUGUCCUAUCAUCAUCACUCUCCACCUUUAAGUAGAAGACUACUUCAAAACAAAGUAUGCAAAUUUUGGAUCGUAAGGCAAGCUUACUAUAUUUCAUUCUUUCUAUCUUGAGUUUUAGGUAAGAGCUUAGAACAAAAAGAGAAAGUUUUUCCCAUAAAAGCUUAGAACAAAAAGAGAAAGUUUUUCCCAUAAAAGCUUAGAACAAAAAAGAGAGUUUUUCCCACAACAAACACGCACAAAUCAAAAUAAAUGAGUAUGAAAAAUCAUACUAUAAUGCUCGACACAUUUCUCUAUAUAUCAUUUUAUAAUUAUGUUGUAUUAAUUUAUAAAAUAUACCCCAUGAUCAAAAGGCUUAAAGUUAUAUUUAUGAUAUUAGUACAUUUCUUCUACUUCUACCUCUCCCAUCUCUCUUCCAAAAUUCUUUCAAUAUUCAUUUUCAAUCCAUUUAAUUAGUUUAUGAGCAAUGCAAUGUGUUAUUAAUAUUAGAGAAUCUAAAUGUAUUUCUCGUAAGUUUUGUUUAGCUAAAUACAAAUGUAAAAAAAAUUGUUUAUUUGAGAGAAGGACAAUCGCCUAACAAGUGAAAGCACGUAUUUAACUAAACAAACGACGAAGAAAUUGUAGCCUAUAUAUAUUUCUCCCUUUUGUACUUUUUGAAUCACUAGAAUAUAAUAAGAGAAAUUUCUACUCUGUGGUUUAUUCUCACUGUACUUGAGUUUUGCACGUAUACCUUCUCUUACCUUUGUUUGGAUAACUUUCACAAAGUUGAACAAAUCACUAGCCAAUUAUAAAACUAACGUUGAACAACAAGAUUAAUUUUGAACUUUUUUUUAAAGUUAUUAUGAACUUUUUUUUUUAUGUAAUCAUUUCCAUGUCACACUAUAUCUAGUCAGGGAAUUUAUUCUCAACUCCAAAUUUAAUGUUCCAACUUAACUAAAUUCAAACUAAAAGAUAAAUAAUUAAUUUAUGAUCAAAAGAUUAUAAGCAUUACGCAAGUUAAAACAUGCACCAAUCAGGCAACGAAACCCAAAUCCCAUCAUUUUUUUUUCUCCAACGGGAUGUCCCACUGCUUCAAAGAAAAAUCAGAAAGAUGGAAUUUCAUUGGCAGAGUUACCUUUUUCUUCUCUUUUUUGUUUUAAAGAGAAGAAUGAUUCUUACUUGGUAAAUCAACUAAUCUUCCAGAAUACACCAUGAGGCCACUGAUUCAAUCGUCAGUAUGAUGCAUACUAACUUUAAUACUGAAAAUAGAGAGUCAACUAGAUAAGAAAGUAAAAAAGAGCAAGUUAAGAAAAUGGUUUUAAUAAACUACUCAUUGUUAAAUUUGAUUUAUCCCAUCGUGACUUUUGCCCGUAGUAAAAAGUUCUGCAAGCCUUCUUUUGUUUAGUCAUAAUUCCAUAGAUAUUCUUUUCAAUCUCCUAAUUUGUAUUUCUUUUGGAGGUUGAUUUCAACCUUUUGAUAGAAAUCUAUUAAACAAAAACAUAAACACCUGUAAAACAAACAAACAUAACAAAAACAAAUAAAUAAAUAAAAUAAAACCUCGAUUCAAUAAAUACCACAAGUCAUUCUCUUUUUUAUAUCCGUGUGUUUGGACCAGCUUGCAGGUCCUGAACCAAUCUCAUAAUUUAGGUGUCAAGGAAACUCACAGGAAAUCAAUUUAUAGGUUGAUGACCCCAUGGAUUAAACUUGUGACCUCCUGGUCAUUUAUUGAGACUAUGUCUCUUUUUUAUCACUAAACGACGGUUAUAAUACACAAUUCACUCUCGCGCAAGAAGCAAAAGCUUCAGAAGAAGAAUUUUGAACUUAAUACAAAAAGAAAACAAGAAAACCUGCAAAUGGAGAUAUUAAUGAUUGCUUGAACCAGUAACUCUCGUCCACUCCAAGCAUUAAUAAUCACAGAUUUCCUCCUCUAUUUGCCAUAGAUUUGAGCACAAUCAGUAUAGCGAAAAAAUGCGGCAAUAAUAAACACUGAAUUUAAAUAGGCUAACCAAAAACAUCAUUUUUCAAAGAAAAAAAAACAUAAUCAAGAUGGCAACAAUUACUGCAAAAAUUAGAGAGCAACAAAAAGAAUCAGAAAUCUAAAACAAAAAUCUACAUUACCUGUCUUGUUUAGUCAAACUGAGAUUUUUGCUGAAAGUAGUUGGAAGUGUUGAGCUUGAAUGAUAUCAAGUUGUGCAUCCGUGGAAAUUCUGUUUUUAUUUGGCAAUGAGACUUCCUGUGAAGCAGUGAUUGAGAUGCUAGCAGAACCAAGUUUCAAUUUCUUAAACUUUUGUCCAAAUUGUGCUAUAAUACCAUAAACAACGUUGUAAGAAUAAGAAAUAUAUCUAUAGUAAUGACUUUUAUUCAAAUAUCCCAAAAUAUCCCAAAAUAAUAGUGUCUAUGUGUAUACACUGUAUACAUGCACUACAUACUUAAAAAGCAUAAACAUAACCCUUGAAUAAAUGCACCUUGGCAUUAAUACUUAAUCAUCUGAUGAUUGCUCCCAGUAAAUUUGACCCAUCAACCAUUGCACCUUCCACUGCUACAAAAUUAAUUAGAUAUCCUACCAAAUUUUUAGAUACUGAGUGGGUUUUAUUUUUUUAUUCAGGUAUUAAUAGAAGAAGUUAUAGAAUAGAUUUAGUUUCAGAUAAAAGUAAAAAAAGAUGAGUAAGAACAAAGUAUACCAUAUUACAAUUCAACCUGUUUUACAUACCGUCUCUAAGAUUCAUACAUUUUUUUGUCAUGAAUUUUAGCUCCACAUCGUAAAGGAAUUUUUACAUUACUGUCACCAAAAAAACAUGCCAAUGAACUUAUUUGUUGUAAUUGAUUCUUCAGAAUCUGAAUGGCCUCGUUAGUAUUGCAUCUCGGGUUUUCUAUCAACUCUACCCAAUCAAAUCAUACGGGAUGGAUCCGAUUUCAGCUCCAGCUCGUAAGAUGAGAUUAUAAACUAGAAUUAAAAUAUCAUCUGUAGCAACUUAUAGUAGAAAGUUCUUGAACAAAUUCAAAUCACCAAUCUAAUACUAUAUUGCAUCUAACUUGAAAUAGAAGAUAUAGAUUCUCUCCCAGUGAAAGAAUCAUUGGGGCAAAAUGGUGUCUUCUGUGAAGGUAUGUGCUAGGCCCCCGAUAUCCAUCACGUAUAGUAGGAAAAAGAAAGGGAAGGACAGAAUUACACGUGGAGCUGGGGGAGAAGGCAAAGGGCACAACCAUCCAUCUGUGGGGUCCACUAGUUAGUUAGAAUAAAUAGAAGAAGGAGAGAGAAAGAGCAUCGAAGAUCAUUUCUGAAAGGGUGGAGGCUGUUCUUCCUUGAGUAGGAAGAAAGCAAGGAGUCCAGGUUCUAUUGUUCUUGGUCUUCAUUGUUCAUUGUUGAUUGUUGCUUUAGUGUUAUUAGAAUUUCCUGUUCUUAGUUUUAUUUCACGCCAAUUGUUAAACAUUGUGUUCUGGAGCUUUCUGUUGUAUUUUGAACUCUAUAUUGUGACUGUUGGAAGUUUUAUUGAUUACUGUUGAAGAAAGUGAACAUAUAUAUAUAAAGGUACAGCUGAAGUAUCUUUACAAAUUGGUAUCAGAGCCAUUACCUGGGUACCUGGGCUACCUUGAAAUCGACCAAGCAUGGCCAGGAAAGUGGAGGAGAGGAUCGACGCUGUGGAACAAGAACUUCAACAACUGCCAAUCAUGGAAGAAAACCUAUCAUUGAUAUCCAACAGUAUUCAAGAGAUCUCAGAUCGACAAACAACAGCAGCAGCAACAAUUGUUUAUGAAAUAUAUUGAGGGUAUUGUACGGGAAGAUAUCUCCGCAAGGAAGAAAACAGAAAGCGCGGUAAGCCAAGCCAAGGGUGAGGAAUCGACCAUCUCGGGAACGUCCAAUGGAUAAAAAAAACUCAGGGACAGAAGAGGAAAAAUCGACUGAUUGAGUAAAUUUAAGUUGAGAUGCCGGUAUUCAAUGGGACUGAUCCUGAUUCUUGGCUAUUCCGAGCAGAUCGGUACUUUAAGAUUCAUGAGUUAACCUAUACAGGGAAGAUGACAGUGGCAGUGAUAAGUUUCAAUAGACCUGCGUUGGAUUGGUAUUGGUUGAAUGAUAAGUUGGAAUGAUUCAAAAGUUGGGAAGAUCUGAAACAAAGAUUAUUGAUCCAAUUUUGAAAAAUUAGCGAUGGGUCAUUGGUAGGAAGGUUUCUAGCGAUCAAACAGGAGACAACCGUGGAAGAAUAUUGGAACCGGUUUGAUAAGUAUUUAGCACCGGUGACUUUCUUCAGACUAUAGUCCUUGAAGAAACUUUCAUGAAUGGGUUGAGCCCAUGGUUAAAAUCAGAAGUGGAUGCGUUAGAGCCUAAAGGUCUAGCCCAAAUGAUGAAGUUGGCCGAAAAAAUUGAAAACAGAGAGAUGGUGAAGAGAAUGCGGAAUGAGUAGCGCAUGGCGGGAAUUCUCAGUUCAAAGGGAAUUAUGAAAAAGCCUCCACCCAUAUCCCUAUACCUCCAAAACCGAAUGACGACAGUUGGCCCAUGAGAGCGAUCAUCCUAAAGGGAAUCACACCGGAGGAAAAAAAGAAAGACGACCCUACCAAGAGACUAUCCGACGCAUAAUUCCAGUCACGACGAGAGAAGGGAUUGUGUUUCAAAUGCAACGAGAAGUAUUAUGUCGGUCAUCGGUGCAAGGUUAAAGAACAAAAGGAAUUACGAAUGCUGGAGGUAAGAGAAAAUGGUGAAGAGUUAGAAAUUAUUGAAGAAGAGUUCUUGGAUACUGAAACAGAGGAGAAGGCAGUCGAAAUAGAAAAAGUGGAGAGCCUAAAUAUUGAAUUGUGCAUCAACUCUGUGGUGGGAUUAACAAACCCGGGAACAAUGACAGUAAAAGGGAAGAUCAAAGGAACUGAAGUGAUAGUGCUCAUAGAUUGUGGGACAACCCACAACUUCAUCGCAAAGAACUUAGUAACAUCCCUCAAGUUAUCAUUGAAAGAAAUGUCUAAUUAUGGGGUGAUCUUAAGGUCAGGAGUGGCUGUGAAGGGAAAGGGGAUUUGUGGUCAAGUCAAUGUAUCGGUAGGAGAAUGGACCACUGAAGACAGUUUUUUUACCCUUGGAGUUGGGAGGGGUGGAUGUGAUAUUGGAUAUGCAAUGGCUGCACACUUUAAGCGUGGACUGAAUUCGACUUGAAGAAGCUGUUGAUGUCAUUUCAUCACGAAGGGAAGAGGGUAGUAAUAAGAGGGGAUCCUAGCCUUACCAAAACAAGUGUAAGUUCGAAAUCUAUGAUGAAGACAUGGAAUACCGAGGAUCAAGGAUACUUAGUGGAAUGUCGGGCUAUGGAAGGGAAGUUGACUGCGGAAGAGUUGAAUACAGCAGACGAUAUGAUAAUUGUUGACACCAUAAUUCCACCUUUGUUGAAUAAGUUUCAUGAUGUUUCUGAGUGGCCCAAAACACUACCUUCGAAGAGAGACAUAGAGCACCACAUCUACCUUAAAUAAGGAGUAAACCCAGUGAAUGUCAAGCCCUACUGCUACGCUCAUCACCAAAAGGAAGAGAUGGAAAAGCUGGUUGAUGAGAUGUUAAGGACUGGAAUUAUAAGGCCAAGUACUAGCCCUUACUCCAGCCCAAUUCUGUUAGUGAAAAAGAAGGAUUGCAGCUGGAGGUUCUGCGUGGAUUAUUGUGCCUUAAACAAUGUGACAGUCCCUGAUAAAUUUCCAAUUCUAGUGGUGGAUGAAUUAUUGGAUGAGCUGAACGAGACCAAUAUGUUUUCAAAGAUAGAUCUCAAAGCUGGGUAUCACUAGAUUCAAAUGUAUCAAGGAGAUGUGGAGAAGACGGCCUUUCGCACUCAUGAGGGACACUAUGAGUUCCUAGGCAUGCCGUUUGGGCUCACUAACGCCCCAUCCACCUUUCAAGCUCUAAUGAACCACGUUUUUAAACCUUACAUGAGACAUUUUGUGCUGGUAUUUUUUAAUGACAUUUUGGUGUAUAGUAGGGGAAUAGUAGAACACGCGCAACACUUAGAAAUAGUAUUGGAAAUCCUACGGGAGAACGCAUUGUAUGCCAAUCUGGCUAAAUGCAGUUUUGCCAAGGAAAAAAUUGGCUAUCUCGGUCACUUCAUAUCUGAGAAGGGAAUUGAGGUGGAUCCAGAGAAGAUUAGAGCUAUCAAGGAAUGGCCAGUGCCUACUGGUGUGAUAGAAGUCAGGGGGUUCAUAGGCCUUACCAGGUAUUAUAGGAAGUUUGUGCAGAAUUAUGGAAGCAUUGCCAAUCCAUUGACACAGUUACGGAAAGCAGGGGGUAUCACUGAACAAAGGAAGCAAGUGUGGCGUUUGACAAAUUAAAGAUGGCUAUAAUGACACUUCCAAUACUAGCAAUGCCAGAUUUUAACCUUCCAUUUCAAGUAGAGACAGACGCAUCUGGUUUCGGUGUGGGGGCAGUAUUGGUUCAAGCCAAGAGACCCAUUGCUUUCUUUAGUAAAACACUAUGCAUAAGGGAUAGAGCUCGUCCGGUUUAUGAAAGGGAACUAAUAGUAGUGUUAUUUGUUGUGCAAAGGUUGUAGACCAUACUUAUUAGGGAAGAAAUUCACAAUGAAAACUGACCAAAAAUCACUUAAAUUCUUGCUAUAACAAAGAAUGAUUCAACCCUAAUACCAGAAGUGGAUAGCCAAGCUUUUGGGAUACUCGUUUGAGGUGGUUUACAACCCGGGGUUAGAAAAUAAGGCAGCCGAUGCCUUGUCCAGAAUGACACCUACAAUUCACAUCAACCACAUCUCCGCUCCAGCAUUGCUUGACUUAGCUAAGAUCCAAGAAGAGGUAGAUAAAGAUCAGCAGUUGCAAGAAAUUAAAAAAAAAAGAUAGAAGGGCAGCAAGAUGAGGUUCCAAACUUCUCUUUACAGCAGGGAGUGUUGAAAUAUAAAGGGAGACUGGUGUUGUCAAAGAACUUAGUGCUGCUGCCAACUAUUCUGCACACAUACCAUGACUCCGUUUUUGGGGGACACUCAAGAUUCCUUAGAACUUACAAAAGAAUGACUGGGAAAUAUAUUGGGAAGGGAUGAAGAGGGACAUCAAAAAGUACUGUGAAGAAUGCCUCAUUUGUCAGAAAAACAAGACCCUUGCUUUGACCCCUGCUGGAUUGCUUUCACCUUUGGAAAUUCCUAAUGAAGUAUGGUCGGAUAUCUCUAUGGAUUUUAUAGAAGGCCUACCGAAAUCGGCUGGGAAAGAAGUGAUUUUUGUGGUAGUGGAUCGCUUGAGCAAAUAUGCUCACUUUAUAGCCAUUAAGCAUCCCUUCACAGCCAGCUCUGUAGCAGCAGAAUUUGUUAAAGAGAUAGUGGGACUCCACGGGUACCCCCAAACGAUCGUGUCAGAUAGAGAUAAGAUCUUUGUCAGUCAUUUCUGGAGGGAAAUGUUCAAGUUAUCGGGUACUAAGUUACAUCGAAGUUCAGCUUAUCAUCCACAAUCCAACGGUCAAACAAGGGUGGUCAACAAAGGUGUGGAAGUGUAUCAGGUGUUUUUGUGGAGAGAAACCGAAGGAUGGGAGUGAAUGGUUACAUUAGGCCGAGUACUAGUACAACACCACCUAACGUAGCUCUAUUGGAAUCACCCCAUUUCAAGUUGUUAACGGUCAUCUGCCCCCACCCUUGAUACAGUAUGGAGAUAUGGAGACUCCUAACUCCACCUUAGACAAGCAGUUGAAAGAGAGAUGUGAUCCUAGGGGCACUGAAAGAGCAUCUACGUUUGGCUUAAAAAAGAAUGAAGAAAUAUGCUGAUCGGAAAUGCAGGGAUGUAGAAUAUCAAGUUAAUGAUAUGGUCUUUUUGAAAAUACGCCCAUACAGACAAUCAUCAUUGUGAAGGAAAAGAAAUGAGAAGCUGACAACCAAUUUUUUUGGCCCCUUUAAAAUCUUGGAGAGAAUUGGAAUCGUGGCCUAUCGGCUGGAAUUACCCAGUUUAGCCUCUAUUCAUCCUGUCUUCCAUGUGUCCCAACUAAAGAAACCUCUCAGAAAUCAUGAGCAAAUACAACAGCUAGUUCCGUAUGUAAAUGAAAAGUAUGAAUGGCUGACUUAAUCAGAGGAAGUAUUCGGGUAGCGGAAGAAUCCUAUCUCCAGGAUGGGAGGUGUUGAUUAGUUGGAAGGGGUUGCCACCUCAUGAAGCGACUUGGGAGGACUGUCAAUACUUCAAACAGCAAUUCCCAGAUUUUCAGCUUGAGGACAAGGUGGCUUUAGAAGUGGAAAGUAAUGCUAGGUCCCCGAUAUUCAUCACGUAUAGUAGGAAAAAGAAAGGGAAGGACAGAAUUACAUGUGGAGCUGGGGGAGAAGGAAAAGGGCAGGACCAUCGUCUGUGGGGUCCACUAGUUAGUUAGAAUAAAUAGAAUAAGAAGGAGAGAGAAAGGGCAUCGAAGAUCAUUUCUGAAAGGGUGGAGGCUGUUCUUCCUUGAGUAGGAAGAAAGCAGGGAGUUCAGGUUUUAUUGUUCUUGGUUUUCAUUGUUCAUUGCUGAUUGUUGCUUUAUUGUUAUUAGAAUUUCCUAUUCUUAGUUUUAUUGCACGUCAAUUGUUAAACAUUGUGUUCUGGAGCUUUCUGUGGUAUUUCGAACUCUAUAUUGUGACUGUUGGAAGUUUUAUUGAUUACGGUUGAAGAAAGUGAAUAUAUAUAUAUAAAGGUACAGCUGAAGUAUCUUUACAGAAUGUUUCCAACCAAAGUUCCAAACAGCUGUUCUUCCUUGUUUUCCAACAGAAUUGAGGGGUUACGUUGCGUUACAACUCAAUAAAGGCUGUUACGGCCUCAUGUAAUGCAUAUAAAAUAAACAAUUCAAACAAAAUAUCAGCUUUAACUUAAACAAGAAAGUGGCCUACUUAAGUUUUGAUUGAAUUUCAAGAAUUCAAGCGAGUUAACAUAGAAUGUGUUGUCUGUUAGCCAGAAGAAGCACCAACAUUUAUAUUAGCCUAGUAACAACUUAGCACUAACGUAAAACUAAACUUAUAGGAAGACAUCAGGCUUAUAUAACGUGAUUGAAAAACAAAAGGUAAGGAUAUGACAGUAGAUGCACAGUAGGUAGAGGCACAGUGGAAAAUGUUCUCAGUCCUCAAACUUUCAAAAGCUGCAUUUUGUUGGAAAAUGCUAAAGCAAUCCAAUCAGGUUGGGCGGCAGACCACUGCAACUGGUUAAUUUCAAAUGCAGCAGAAUACAUGGACAUUGGAUCAAUGCCAUUGGGGCCUGCAACCAUAGGCAGCUCCCAGAUGAGGGCCUGCUUGUCAUCCCCUGCGGAACAAAUAUGCCUGCAGCUCCGAGGCGCCCAGGCUAUAGCAUUGACACUGGAAUGAUGCCUCUCCAAUUCAGCAACCGGCACACUUGGUGAGCGAAUGUCCAAAAUAACAAUUUUGUUGCUGUCCAUCAGAAUUGUGGCCAUAUACCGCAGGUCCUGUUUGUUCCAUGCCAGUCUGAGCAAAGGGGUAUCAGGUUGGGGGCUUUCGUAUAUAAUGGUAGAGUGCUCCUUAUCUCUCAUGUCGAAAAUCCUUACCGACCCAUCAGCGGAAACAGAAGCAAAAACCCGGGCUUCCCCCCAAGCAAUGUCAUAAACCUCUUUGUCGUGAGCUAUGAACUGGGUUUCCACCACACUCUUCUCAAUGUCCCAAAUAGUACAAGUGGUGUCAAUACUGGAGGUUCCAAUUCUCUUGGGCUCAACUUCAUUCCAGUCGAAGGAAGUUAACGGGGCACAGAAUUCACUGGUUUUGCUGUUGUUGAGGAGGGAGAGGGGUUCGAUGGAAGAAUCUCCGAGUUUCCAGAGGCGGAGAGAGUCGCCGGAGGAGGCCAAGAGAGAGGAGAGGGGACUGGGAUUGAACAUGAGCUUGGUGGGUGGGUAGGGGUGCUCAAAGGAGAGGGAAGGAUUGGCUUUAAUGGAGAUAGAAUCUGGAUCAAAAGACACAAUGUCGACGCGGUUGUUGUACUCUUCGACGAAGCUGCCAAGCGCUAUGCGACUGGAGAAAUUAAGAGAGUGUGCGUGAGGGGAAGAAAUGGCCAUGGCGUAGAGAGGAUGCGGAGAUUCGUAGGUCGCCAAGAAUUCGGAUCUGGAGGCUGCGUGUUCCAUGAUUCCAAAAGCGAAGAACGAUGGAAUAGACUGAGAGAGACAAUGAAGGACGAACUGAUGAUCGGUACACGGAACGCCGACGAGAUGGCGACUGUCGAACGAUGGCUUUGCUCAGAAAAAUAAAAACGAAAUGGAAAAAUUGUGGAACGCGUUGAGGAUGGAAAAGUAGGAGGCAGGCGGUGCGAAGUCAUAAGGAAAAUCCCCCGAACUGACCCAAAAUCUCAACAACGUCCACAAAUUGGUGAGAAUAGUCAAGUUCGAAACCUCGUUUUGAAAAAGAACUACAUUUUUAGUCUCUGUUUUGUUAAAGAUUGCUUUUGCUCCAUCAGUUUUAAAAAAUUAUAACAAUAGAUUCAUUAGCCUUUUUUUUUUUGUUUUUUAUUUUUAAAAAAUUGAUUUAUAAGACUGAACUUAAAAAAAUAGGUUUAUAAGAUCUUUAGGUCGUUUCAUUUUCUUAAAUAACUGUAAUAAAUUUUAAAAAUUAGAUUUUUAAAAAAUAGAACAAAACGUAAAAAUACAUCUUAAACAACAAUUUUGAAAAAGGAAAAUUCCCUUAGUAAAUGAAGCAACAAAAAUACUGUAACACUCGAACCGUAGGUAUCUUAGAUUUUCCAAAGAAAGUAGGCUUGAGAAGUGUUUUGGUAAGUGUGUUGUGAUGGGUGAAAAGAAGGAAGCUCAUGUUGAGGAAGUCUAAGAGGUUAGAAAGAAGGGAAAAUUUUUGUUAAGCAUGAAAGAAUUAGCAAUUUAGGCGUUUUGGUUUGGCUUGCCGAAAUAGUUAUAAAUUUAGAAAGGGCUUUUUAGUGUUUAAAGUUAGGUGUUUUAGCUAAACUUCAUAACGGAGUUUCUCACAACUCACUUGGGAGUUUUCAUUCAAAUUGAUUUUAAAAGUUCAAAAACUGAGUCUAGUUUAUUGAGAAAGGAGGCUGGACAUUUUAGAUAUGAGCAAGUUGGCGUUUUGGAUAAGAGAAGAUGAAAAGGUCAGUUCGCGAGUGAAUUAGCAUAAGGUAUAGUUCCAUAAAGCUAUAAAACGCAUAGUUUGGUUUUUUUCUCUGUAAUGUGAAGGUAAAAAAGUUAACUCGUUUUAGAGUAACUUUGUAGAAGGAAGUUUUAUAAAAUGAUUACGGAUUUUAAGUUAUAACUUUUCUAAGUCGGGUUAUGUAGUCUGGGCGAGAAAGUAAGCGAGAUGGUCUUGGAGGCUAGCUAUGCGUUUUGGACAACUAUAUGACAUGAUUAAGGCAAUCGGUUUAAGGAUUUAGUGAAGUGUCAAAACCUUGUUAGCAUGCAUUUUUUAGGUGUAAAAGUAAGCAAAAAGUGUCUCAAUAAGGUUUAAGGUGGCGUUAAGCAAGGAUGAGGUGUCAAUGUAAAUUUAUGCAAUGGACUCUAUAAUUAGGUUAUUUCAUAUUCACUUUUCUCCCAGUCCACUCAUGUGUUUUGAAUGAAAUUACUCUCAAAAGUUUCCAUUUUGAGUCUAUUUUCUAAGAUGUGGCUGCACGUUUAAUUGGAGUAAGAGAGGGUUGAGUUUUAGUUGUAGAAAGCGAGAAAGGUCAUAAUAUGGAUGUUUAUGAACAAAGUGAACUUCCAGAAGGUCGUAGAGUUCAUCUGUUGGAAUCUAAAGCUAAUUUUUUUAGGUAAGAAUAUUACGAUAUUUUGCAACAAUUUUUUAGAAUAAAGUAUUUUCAUUUGAAUUCUGAAUUUUAUGUUAUUAAGCUUUAAAGUUAAGUUAAGGUUCUGGCCAAAUUACGAGUUUCUGGAUUGAUUGGAGGUUGGCGGAUUGACAAGGUAAGACUAGGCAAAUUAGGUGUGCAUUUUGGUUUAAGAGAGGUUUUUUGAGGUGUUUUGGGCUUAGUUUGGAUGCAUAGCACGUCCAAGAUAUGUGCAUGGCCAAAGCUCUGCCACUCAUCCUCACACGCUAACCGUGUCAAAUAAGUAUCUUGGGGCUGUUUUUGAUGUUUUGGAAAUUUUAAGCAAAGUUUGAUGUGUUAGAAUAAAAGAGAAUUAGUUGGAGUUGUUUUCCAUUAGUUCAAGACAAGAAAAAAUCGGACAAGCAUAUCGACCAAGGGUUUGAUUUGCGAUCAGUGAGUGAAAAAUGAGUUUACUAAAGUUAUUCAUGAUUUAUAGAUUUAUGAGUAAUAAAAUGAUUCAUAAAUAACGAUUCUAAUAUGUUUUACAAGCUAUAAUUUUAAAAUGCUUUUAAGUAUCCUUAUUUCUAUUUAUCAACAUGUUUAUGGAAAGUGUUAAAGCAUGUUAUUUAGAAAAGUAUUCUAAAGCUUGAGUUUAGAAAUGUUUUUAGAAAGCAUGUAUUUAUAAGAUUUACAAGCAAUGAUUUAUAAAAUGCAUGAGUUUAAUAGAAUAAUUUAAAGAGAAAACCAUGGUACUCUAUAUAUCGUGUUCUCGAUGGUCAAUGUGUACAGUCAUGGGUAUAUGGCUAUCUAACCACUUAGUCGCUACCACUAAGUUCAGGCAGGAAUAAUAUGACCAAAGGUGUUAUACUAUCUUGACCGAGUUUAUUAUGAAUAGUAUGACCAAAGGUGCUCUGCUAUCUUGUUUAAGUUUUUCCUAGAUAUAGAGUGUACAAAGUUGAAUGAAUAUUUGAAUGUUAAAGGUGUUCAAUUUCUAAGUGAUUUCUUAAAAUUUAUAUGUUAUGUUUUGUUUAUGAAAUGUUUAAUUUGUAUUUGUUUUAUAAAACCAUCACUCACAGGACUUUUUAGCUCAUCGUUUCAAAAUGUUUUUCUACUUUCUAGGUAGAGGUCAUGAUCCAAGAACUUGAUGCUGUCUUCAGACUGAUGUGUGAAGUUGUGAUAGUUUAGUUAUUAAGGGUCAGUUUAAAUCUUAUUGUGUACAUGGUUUUGCAUAAGGUUAAGUGUUGUUGUAUAAUUUUAUUUGGUAUGUAAGUAAAGUUUGUAAUCUAUGGCAUUUAGCUUCGACUACCUGUUUAAAGUAUAAGAAAUUGUUCAAGUUGUAUCUUGUAAGUUUCUGUUGCAUAAGUUUUAAUUUACCUAAGUUGUUUAGCAUUGUAAAAGUGUAGUAGUUAGAGUCAAUUGAUAUUGUUCAAAAGUUUAAUAAUGACAUCGAUUGACUUCACUCCAGGUCACGGGUCGAGCAAGCAGGUGCUCAAGGUGGGGUGUGACAAAUACCCUGUGAUGAAUCAGCGACACGUGCAUGCAAAAAAACUUUUAAUUUAAAUAAUUAAAUAAUAUAGUCUAAAAGAUCGUUUAGAUAUUGGUACACGAUCGUUUGAAUCUAUCACUUACCUAUCUAGAAUAUAUAGUGCCACGCCUCGCUUUAAAAACACUUUAUGUAGUGAAGAGGAGACGUGACCAUAUAAGGCCCCGAUCGCAUGUAGCCAAUGCGACAAAAAGUCUUACGAUUAGAAAGAUACAUGAAGAGAUUUUCCGAUCACGGAAGUGUUAGCUACAGCCAAAUCACGAUAAGAACUCUGGCGCCAGAGGGCACGACGAUCAGACGAUUAAAGUCACAAUCUACUUCACCUAGGAGAUGGUGAUGUGAUGCAAAAGAUGGUAGGUCGACAAUUGAUGGACCCGACCACCCACCCUGAGUUCAGGAUAAAGCAUGUCAGAGGCACAUGUCAUUUUUGGAUUAGGCGACUUUCCACCAUUGGUUAGGGAAAUCAUUUUAGUAUAGAGAGACCCACUAGAAAAAAUCUAUAAAUAAAAAGCUCAAGCCAUCUGAAAAUACUUCUUACCUUUAUCUUGUGGAGAGAGGGAGAGAUAAUUUAAAGGUGCUUAUGGAUUUGAGGCAGAGGCAAGCUCAUUCCGAUCCAAAUUUCAGAACUAGAAAAGGGACCUUGAUUAGAGAAGCAAAAAGGGAUGACCAUGUUGGAAAACAAACUAGGGCUAGAUAUAGCGAAAGUAACAUAAAAAAUUUCUUUGACCCUUAAAACGUAAACAGACCAUGCAGAAGCAAUUAAAUCACAAAUAAACAUACCUUUUUUGUCAAUGUUCCAAAUUCAAAUUGCCUUGUUCUGAUAAGGAUGAUCAUCCAAAUUCGUAUCACCAAAACACUGCAAAAAAUUACAAGCAUUCUCUAACACUAUCCACACAGGAACUAGAAAUUCUACUCCUCGAAUUCAGGUCUACUAGAACCUCACAAAAUGAGAAUUUCGACUCUUUCUAUUAUCUCUUUGUGUAGAAUGAAUUUUAUGACUUUGCUUGCAUUUUGCUUCUCUAUAAAAUAAGACCCCUAAGGUAUUAUUUAUAGGCUUCGUGAGGUUUUCUAAUAAGCUUAGAAUUCCUAAUAAGCUUCCAAUUCUCCAAUAUCAUAAAUUAUAACCAUAUUUUCUUAUUAGAGAAUAAGAAUUAGAAUGACCUUUUUUGUGAUUAUUACAUUGACAUGUGUCAUAAAUAAUCUCAAAUAAUUGAUUGUUUUUUAUUCUUAAACUCGAGAUUAUCAUAGUGUCAAACAUAAGAAUUAAUCUACUUUGUGCAAUCAAACGUUAUCUUUAACCGGAUAAUUAUAAAUGUGUACUCAAAUACGUUAUGAAUUAUGUAGUUGACAAUGAUUAAUUAAAAUGGAAUUUAUCUCUCUUGUUAUAGUGAGAUAUCUUUGGGCCCCUCGAUUAAGCGUGACUGUGGAAAUGGUGAUAUAAAUGAAUUAAUAAGGGUAUUAAUAUCAUUUAUUAUUUCAGUAUGCUUAUUGAACGAGAAAACAAUUAAAUUAGAUAAGGUGACUUUGUCUAUGCCUUAUAAAAGGACUAAAACAAUAAUUAUAUUAGGUUAUGUUGGAUCAUCGAUUUAAUUUAAGAAAGAUUUAGAAAAAAAACCUAAAUUUAAUACGAAAUUUCACAAAUGUCCUAAACUAAAAUUUAUUUUCUUAAUUAGGAUUUCGUAUAUUUUUAUGACAAUAAUUAUAUUAAUAAGUUUUCAAACUGUUUCAAGGCGUCAUGAGGGUUCCUUCCAAAGGAAUCUCAUAAUUGGGUUAACCCAAGAUCUGACUACAACCUUGUUGUGCCCAACAAGUAUCGUAACGUCAACUAGGCCACUUCCUAAGCCUAAGUCCUAUGCCCAAACGAUAAAAGCAACGAUUUUCAUGCCGCGACCUCCGAUAACAGAAUAUCAAACCAAAGCUAUUCUGGAAGAUGUCGUCAUUGAAUCAAAAUUUGACAGACCUUCCGUCCAAGAAUUUUGUUCUCAAAUAUUUCUGCAUGGGUUUAAUUUCUUUUCGGAAGAUAUAAAAAAGACGAGACAAUUUUAUGAGUUUAUUUUGGUAGACACAAUUUCUACCAAAAUCACUCAUAUUCUAGACAAGAAUAGUUAGAGAAGAUUGUCUACUCCAAAUUAAAAAAUUUCAUGGUCCAAACACCAUUCCACUAGCCUCAAGAGAAGUUUGUUCCUAGAAAAUUUUCCAAGUCUUUCAACCCUCAAAUGUACAUUUAUCUUGAUUACAUGGAAGCUUGGUACAAAGUACUCUGCCACGAGUCCCAUAACCAUUCUUGGUUUAUUAUGUUUUGUAAGAAACCUUACAAAAUUAAUUUUCCAAACUAGUUUAAAAAUGGUGGAGCUACUUCGACCUAACUCCAAAAAAUUUUCUAGUCGAGGUCCAAUGUGCAUACCGCCAAUUCUCAACCAACAUAUAUUCGUCUGCCCUCUCGUCGAUGUAUAGAUUCUCUCUCUACUUCCAAGUGCUCUGGAUUUUCUACUGGAGCCACCAACUAUCAACCAGAGCAAAGUUCAAGAUCUUAAGAAAGAUCUUGCGUGUCAAGUGGUGGGAUAACGACUUAGUGAAUGAAGAGAAAAUAGCAAAGUGGUUCAAGACAAACACUCAUCUUUCUCAAGAAGAAGAAGAUCAAUUCCUUCUUAGGAAAAAUUCAAUCAUGACCUUCAUCGCUGGAGCAAAAUCUGAAGCAGAUCUUCAAACGGUCAUGGAAACAGUCAUCCACACCAUUUAUGAUGACGACAAAGAAAAUGAUGUUGAAGAUACCAGAAUUUCUUCAAACUCAUUUGCUAAUGAUAUUGAUUUUGAUAAUGAUCCGUAUUACAAUUUCGAUAUUAGCGAUCCCUAUUUCGAUUCCCUGUUAGAAUGAAAAAUAGGUUCAAGCUUUACUUUUACUUUUACUUUUUACUUUUGUUUUUAUUUAUAUAAAAGAAAAGUACAUAAAUAAUUUUUGUGUCUUUGUACAUAAUGUCCUGUAUAUCCAGUCUGCAAUUUGUAAUCGUCGAUCAAGGUAUUCUCCGAUUGAAGGGGAGGUGAUGGAGAUGGCAUGCGAUUGAAGUGGAGUAACAAACCACAGGCCAGUGCUGUCAGCGAGGAUUGAUUAUGGGUAGGAAAACUUAGGAUGCUUGGUUAGUUAAUGGCGGGAAAGUUAAAAGUAAGUUCCUGGAUGUAUUCUAUCUCAGAGAAUCUACAGUCGUUGCAUGGUAAGACUAAUCUUGGCCAGUCAGACAAAGCCGGGUGACAUCAUGAUUAUCUUGAUGAAGAAAUUACCAAGAUAGGCUUAAGGACAACGACAUACAUAUCUUUUCAGCUUUACUUUUACUUUUGUCUAUGUGUAUUAUGUUGGCUUUUUGGCCCUUAAUCUCAAAUUAAUUUAUUUUAAUUAUUCAAUUAAUUUAUGUUUUGAUGAUAACAAAUCUGAUUUUUUUUAUUGACAAUUUUAUUAAUUUGAAUAGACCAUAUCGUAGAGUUUGGAAAAAUGAUUCUAACGUCUCUUGAAUCACCCAAAUCGAAGUUCAAAUGAAGAAAAUAUUGCUAAAAGAAAGUUAACGGAAAAAUACCCGAGAUGGUGACGUGGCGACCAAGCAUUCAAUUUGAACCAAUUAGAGAAAGCCACUUGGAGCAAUGAAGGAGUAACAAAUGUGGCUUUUUGUUAUGUUUUAUUGGCUUUUAUAAAGAAAAUGAAUUUAAAAAGAAAAUGAUUUUAAUAUUAUUAUUUUUUCUUGUGUCUAACGGCUAGUUAUUUAAAAGAUGGUGAAGUUGCUUUAUUGAUUUCUUUUUAAACAAAGUAUUUUGAAAAGACAUAUUAUUAUAUUAUUAUUUGUAUUGUGUCUAACGGCUAAUUAAGUUUAAAUCUCAACCAUUCAUUUUUCUUUUACUUAUAUCUAAUGACCCAAAUGAUUUUGAAUUUAUCUUUUCUCUCUUUUUAAAUACUUCACAUUUACACAAGAUCAUUCAAAUCUUUACAAUCCUCAAGCAAAAAGCCAACAUUGUUAUUCUCUCUAAAGCUUCCAAUUUUUAUUCUUUUCAUCUUAUUCUUGAGAGCUUCUUAUUGUAUUGUGAGGAUUAAAUUUGUGAGCUUCAAAUUGUAUACUCACUCUUUUAGAGAGUUUUCUUUUGUGUGAUUUAAAAACUUCAACAUAUUGUAAUGAUUGGAUCCUAACCCGUGGAAAGGAUCGGGUUUGCUCUUGAACCCGAAAAAAGAGCAAGAAUCGGUUCGGCUCAAAUCCGUGGAAAGAGUCCAAAGAAGAUUUUCAAUCAAAAUCCCAAGAGGUGCUUGGGAAAGUGGAUGUAGGUUGAGUUUAACCGAACCACUAUAAAAUUAUGGUGUCUUCUUCUCUAACUCUUUUUUAACUAUUUUUAAUUUAAUUUUAGUUACAUACUCUUUUUGGUUGAGUUUGAUUGCAUACUUCCAUUCAUAUAUUUUUAUCAAUCUUGUUAUUUAACAAAGUUUACAAAGUUCUUUAUUUAAAUUUAAAAAGUAUCUAAUUAGUUGAUUUUACUUUUUAUUUGUCAAAAAGUUUAUUUAAACCCUAUUCACCCCCCUCUAGGGUUGCCAUACCGAUCCAACAUAUUAUUUUGUCUUCUUGUAGUUAUUUCUAUUUAGUUUGUAUUUUAGUGUUUUGUUAGAUUACAAAUAGAUAAGGAUAAGUAGGGGUCCUGUCCCACCCAAAUCUUACCGUAAUCUUUUAAUUUAAAAAAGAAAGAUUCCAAAGAGAUAAGUUAUCGGUUAGGGGUCCUGUCCUGUCGACCACUCUAUGUCUUUCUUUUUUGUAUAAUUAUUAUUGAUAUGUGUAACAACUUGCAUGGAUAAAUGAUAUCUCAGUGGGAGAUUCAUCUAUCUAUCUAAGGGCACCUCAUCCUUGAAUGGUCACUUUUUGUUACUUUUCAAUUUCAACGCCUCAUUCAAAUUGGAUAUUGGACUAACCGAUUUUGUUAUUUUUACAAUAUUCAUAUCCAUGGCUUUUAAGUGUAAUUUUGUUAAACUAUUUUGUAAUUCUUGCAAAAGAAUAGUAUGAUGUGUAUGUAAAAGAUAGGAUAAGAUAAAGGAUGUAGGACACCACAUUGCCUCAUAUAUUGUCAACAAAGUGAAGAAGGUAAGUCAACUCUUAGAUUUUAUCUCUUGAAGUCGUUGGAAGGAAGUGGCCAAAAGUGGAAAGUUACAAGGGCAUUGAUUCUAUGGGUGAUGUGAUACGAGACUGUUGCGUCUUUUAAAAAAUAUGUGUGAUUUUUGUUUUUGUUUUUUUUUCUCUCGUCAUCCCUUUUAAUUCCCACAAAUCUGAUUAAGCUUUCCCACUCUCAAAAUUGUUGUGAGUUUAGGUUUUACAAAAGUCCUGAUAGUACUCGUGGUUGGAAGGGAGGAAUAAUCUCAACCUUCUGUCAUACUGUUUUUCUGUUCUAUCUUCUACCAUUGAACUUCCUCUUCUGUUUUCUUUAUUUAGAUUGCGAGGUAUUGUUUUCUUUUUCUUAAAUAUUAUAUGGAUGAUGUUCUUGAAAUUUGAUUUUAUGCAUUUAUGUAUACGAUCUUUAACUUGAUUUUACAUGUUUAAUGAUGUAUGAUUUUUGGAGUGUAAUACAAGCAUCAUGGUUGGGUUCAAUGGAUGAUUUUAUGCUAUAUUUUCAACUAUUUUCAUUAAAUAUUCUUUAGUUUGUGAAUAUGUUAUCAUGCAUAUAUGUGUAUGUAGUUGUGUAUAUGUAUGAAAGAUAAACAUUUAUUGAUUUUAAAGUGUUAAUAAUAUUUUAUAAAUAUCUAUUUGGGGGGUUUUUGAAAAAAUAUAACCAAACAUAACAAUAUUUUCACACUGUAUAACAAUUUUGAAAAUAGAAAAAGCUCACAACGUGAAAUAACAAAAAUACCCAUCGAUCACACAAGCGUGAAAAAAAUGAUUGUAAAUGAAUUUGUACCCAAUCUAAACAAUCAUGUACAAAAUCUAAUGAUCUUGGUACACGAUUUUGUACCCAAUCUACAACCUAAUCAAAACGAUCUUGUACACUUAUUCCUAAUCAAAACGAUCUUAUACCUUUGUACCCUAUCUACAGUAUAAGUUACACAUUUUGAUCAUCUUUUUAUCUGUUUUGACCUCAUUAUUCUAAUAAAAGGAGCUACAAUAACAGAUACUUAUACACGUUGUCAUAAGUUUGUUGGCAACGACACAAAAAACUUGGUGUGUUUUUUUGAACUCAGUGUACAGUGUUGUGUUUGUCUAUAUCUAUUUCUACCUGCUAAGUCAUUGGUCGUGAUCAUUGCAUGCGAGAUGCUCACUAUGUCUCUCUUCCUCACAUAGUUACUAAGUCCUCUUUGAGUACAAAUUCUCCUAUUACUAGUUCAAGUAUAAGGGAAACAAUAGAUUUCCUGAGUAAUCCAAGGUCAAACACAGGAAAUUGAUUGCAAUUUUUAGAUCUAAGGCUUACUCUUCAUUCAUAAGGUAUAAAAUAACUAACUAUAUAGUAUAAAGUAAAGUAUGACUAAGCAAAACUAUUAUCUACACUAGAUAAUCUGUAAAAGGAGAAUAGGAAUGGAGGCUAGAUGAAUGUGUGAACUAACUUGUGUUAAGAAUGAGGGAAGGAAGGUUUUCGUGUAAUUUGGGGUUAAACCAUGUGGCAGCCUUGAUGCAGUAGAGCUUAGUUAACUAGUUUAUGAUUAAGGCGAGCACCAAAUCUCAGUGCCUUAAACACCACUCUUGCUCCCCUCUCAGAAUGCAAAUGAUAAAGCUUGAUUAAGCGAGAUCUAUCUAGAAGGGUUCACUUAUAAGACUUAUAGCAUUUCUCUAGCUCAGUGAGAUUAAGAAUUAUCAUAAAUCAGCUCCAAAACCCCCUCAAAGAUAUCUAAAUCAAUCACACUUUUAUAAAUACAUUAUUAAUACUUCAGACAAAUAAGUUUAUUCUCUAUUCAAAAGUUUCACUUCCUGCACUUCUAAUUAUUUGCUCUUUGGUUUGAGCAUUAGAGCAUGCGUCCCAAAUACUAAAUCAAGUUGUAGGUUUUACUAUUAAUUUGCAGAUUAGUCUCUUCUUAAUUUUAUCAAACAACUUUAUUAUUGUUGUCACGUGGAAAUUAAUUGUAUUUUAUCAUGUCAUGGCAUGACGAUUCAUUACCUUUAAAUCAUAGAUAUUCACAUCUUAAUAUGAAUGUACUCUCUAAAAAUUAAUAAAAAAAAUAGUUUUAGAAAAACACAACCUAACACGUAAUUAAAAAAACGUUGUAAUUGGAUUUUAGUGGAUCGUGUCUUAAUAAAUUAAUUUUGAAAAGAGACAUUUUAAAAAUAGCAAAAUAAAUUAAAAUAUCUACAAGCUAUAACAAAAUUUUGGAUUUUAUCAAUCAUAGUCUUCUAUCGCUCUACCAUAUCAAUAAUAGAAUUUUGUAGAUAUUUAAUAAAAUUUGCUUUUUCUUUUUUAAAUUCCCGUUCAGAAAACAAUAAUAACUCAAUUUUUGAAAUAGUUUAACUGACUGCUAUUUUUGUUAUUUUAAUGAACCACAUUUUGGCACUCACUCAACUUUUGGCUUGCUCAAAAUGUUGGCUACACACAUAUAGCCAACAUAUAUAUAUAUACAUUGUUAUUGUUGUUAUUAUUAUUUUAAACUAAGAAGACAUGCAUAUAUGUCAAUCUCAACGAAACAAUAGAAAACAAUAAUUAAAUAAAGAAAAAGACAUACAUGUCCCUACAAGCUAGCCGGCUGGUGCAUUCUAGUGGAUGAACGAUGCCAAUUGGAAGACGAUAAAAAUAUUUAAACCAAAGUUGGAAUUUUAUGUUCACACAAAUAUUUUUUAAAUGCACACUUCAAUCUCAUCUUUCACAUAAUUCUUUUAGAUUUUUUGAAACAUGAAUUUGAAACUAACAAAAUGUUUUCUAGAUUCUGUCCAUAUAAGUUUUCAAAUAUUUAAAUAACAAAUUUCGGCUUUGGAAGAUUCAAAUAAGUUUUGUCACAUUCUGAAACUCAUUUAUUGACAAUUGUCAAGUGCGAAUUAAAUGUUUUUCUUUAGAAAAAUGAAUAUUAAGUCAUUGAGUUUAAUAUUUGUUUGAAUACCCACAUUUUAAAACCUCUAAAAUAAAAUUUUGGUCUAUGCAUCAUAUUUUAGUCUAUGCUUUUAUUGUCAAUUUAAAGUUAGUUUUUACAUAUGUGUCUAUGUAAUCUUAAUAAACCUGAAAGUUAAUCUUGUAAUUUUAAAUUAAAGUCGUUAACUUCUGGUAAGCUAAUAACUUAAUAAUUGAUAAUAAUUUCCAUUUAUAGUCUUUGUUUUUCUAUUUAGAAAAACCAAGUGUGUAGAACUAUUUCUAAGAUUAUAAUUUUUUAAGACUAGGAAAAAAAAUGGUCCACUUAUCAUUUUCAUCUCUAUAAAGUGUUAAAAUUUUUAAUUAUCUAAUUUUAAUAAAGGGUUUUUCUAAGAAUAAAAAAAAAAAAAUACAAACUUUACAUUUUAUGGCAAAAUUUAAGUAGAUUGAGUUUUUGUCUUUUAGUAAAAAAUUAAUGUUGAAAUAAAUGGUAAAUAGUUUGUCUAUUUUCUCAUUUUUGACAAUUUUCUUUCAAUUUUAAAUUUAGUUCUUAUUGCUUGGAGUGAAAAAUUAAUGCAUUUUGUCAUUGUUUAUAAUUUUCUUUAAAUUUUAAAUUUAGUUAAUAUUGUUUGGGCUUGAUUUAAAAUUUUCUAAUCUACAUUUUUACUAUAAAUUUUGUAAACAUAAGCAUAUAUGUUGGUAAGAAGUUGGAGAUUUUGAGAUUACAUCUACUAAAAUUGAACCAUAGAAAGUAUUGGUUGCAUGUUUAUAAAAUAUAGUAUUUUAGAAAACAAUUCAUGUAAAAAAGAAUGAACCAUCUAAAUUUGUAAUGUUCCCAAUGAAGUAUAGAACAGAAGGAUAAGAAUGAAAAAUGAUAUUGUAUUAUUAAUUUAUUUAGAAGAUUAUUGUUAUUUUAGUAUAGAAACAUUAUCAAAACAGACAAAAUAAAAACAGGCAGGAAAUAAUUACUAUAUUUAACUUUGUAACAUUUAGUUUAAAAUAUUGAAGGAAAAUGAUUGCUGAGGUAAUGACUAUUGCAGGACUUAGAAGUAGAUUCAUAUCAGAACAGGCCGGCAACACAAGAUUGUUCUUAGACUUUCACAAAACAUUAUAUAAAUAUAUUGUCAUUAUUCAUUAUUAUUCAUUAUUCAUUAUAUAUAUAUAUUCUCGCACUAUCACAGGAAGAGGGAAUACAAAAUUUUGAGAAAACCAGAAUCCACAUUUGUCUCAAUUCAAUAGAGAUUCACACCACAACUUUGUCGACAUCCAUUGGGGACUGUGAUCAUGGGUUUCGAAGGAGAUGAAGAAUCCUCCUCUCCUCAGAUUUUAACAAAAUCCCCAUUUAGAUAUAACUCUCCCUUGGUCCAAGUUUCGUUAAUUGGAUUGGUUUGCUUUUGUUGUCCUGGUAUGUUCAAUGCCCUCAGUGGUAUGGGGGGCGGGGGCCAGUUGGAUUCCACCGUUGCCGAUAACGCUUCAACUGCUCUCUACACCACUUUUGCAAUAUUCGGCAUCAUCGGAGGUGGUGUAUACAACAUCCUUGGUCCUCGUCUCACGCUCUUUGCAGGCUGUUCCACUUAUGUUCUUUACGCUGGAUCCUUCCUUUACUACAAUCACUACAAGGACCAAACCUUCGCUAUCAUUGCAGGCGCAAUUCUUGGAGUGGGUGCUGGCUUUCUCUGGGCUGGUGAAGGCGCCAUCAUGACUUCCUAUCCGCCCCCUGGUCGAAAGGGCACUUACAUUUCUAUCUUUUGGAGUAUUUUCAACAUGGGUGGUGUUGUUGGUGGUCUUAUUCCCUUUGUCCUAAACUACCACCGCACUACUGCUUCUUCCGUCAAUGAUGGUACCUAUAUUGGUUUCAUGUGUUUCAUGUCUAUUGGGGCUGUCACUUCUCUUGCCAUUUUGCCCCCCAGUCGUGUGGUUCGCGAUGAUGGUUCGAGAUGCACCAACAUCAAGUACUCCAGCGUUUCAGUGGAGUUUGUGGAGAUUCUCAAGUUGUUCCUUAAUUGGAAGAUGUUGUUGAUUGUUCCGGCUGCAUGGUCUAGCAACUUUUUCUAUACCUACCAAUUCAAUAACGUGAAUGGGGCGUUGUUCAAUUUGAGGACAAGAGGGUUCAACAAUGUAUUCUAUUGGGGAGCACAGAUGCUGGGGUCAAUUGGGAUUGGAUACAUAAUGGAUUUCAGUUUUAAGAGUAGGAAGACUAGAGGUUUGUUUGGAGUUAGCUUGGUGGCGCUAUUGGGUACUGGAAUAUGGGCAGGUGGACUGGCUAACCAGCUUAGAUACUCUCGCAACAAGGUCCUGGACAAGUUGGAUUUCAAGGAAUCGGGCUCUGAAUUUGUUGGGCCUUUCUUCUUGUACUUCUGUUUCGGGCUGUUGGAUGCUAUGUUUCAGAGCAUGGUUUACUGGGUUAUUGGAGCUUUGGCGGAUGAUUCAGAGACCUUGAGCAGGUAUGAGAUCAACGUGUUAUUAUUUCACAUAUAAAAAUUAUUGAGAUUAUAUCAUGUAAUUAUUGAAGAUAAAACACACAGGUACAGUGGAUUCUAUAAAGGAGUGCAGAGUGCAGGAGCUGCAGUGGCUUGGCAAGUUGACAACCACCAUGUUUCCUUCAUGCGUCAGCUGGUUGUGAACUGGUCACUCACAACACUAAGUUAUCCUUUGUUGUUGGUUCUCGUGUUUUUGGCUGUCAAUGAUGACGUCCAUGACGAAAAGAAGUUUAUCGACGAAACUCGCAAGGAGGUUAACUCUUCUAUAAUUACCUAACCCACCCUUGCACUGAUAUUGCAAAGCCUAAGUUUCUAUAUUUUCGUCUCUCUGCUUUCUUUUUUUCCAUAUCUUCUUGAUGUAAUGCGUUCAUUACAUGUUGCCAGAAAUGCAAUAAUGUUGUACACAAUAUGGUUAAAUGUUUGGCUCACUAGCUACUUGGAGCUCACUCACGAAUCUAAUCAAUUACAAGCAAGUUUAGCCUUACAUGAGUUGUUUGUAAAUUAAUACAGCUGGUCAAAUGUUCAUCUUAUCCCAAUAGUUAUAAUAUCUUUCACCUUAGUUUCCAAAAGAAUUUACUAACUUUGGCACAUAUGUGCUUGACAUCAUAAUUAGAAUUUUGUUUUUUUAGAUUCAAACAUCUAAACAUUAUAAAUUUUUUUAAACAAUUUUUUUUAUGCUCAGAAUUUGAAUUUUACAUUUUAAAAACCAGAAUUAUGUUAAAUAUAUAUAAAAACAUAUAAAAGUACGAUAUGUCAUAUUAUAAAUUCAAUUCAUUUUUUGAUAUAAUAUGUACGCUAUAAUAAAUUAUAUAAAGAAAAUUGUAUUAGAUGACAAAAAAAUUUAAGAAAAAACAACUCAUAACACCUAUUUUUUUCAUAUUACAAAUUUGACAAAUAUGAUGAUAAUCCGACGGUAAUUUGCUUUUAAAUUUGCUAUUUUUGCAAAUUUAAAAAUGCAAGUAACACGAACUCUAUUAUUAUAACUUUUUACUAUUUUUGCAAACAUCCCAUUAUAUAAUAUAUAAUACAAAAUGACAACCUUAUUAAAUUUUAAGUUAAAUUACAAAAUUGUGUUUCUAUGGUUAUGAAAGAAAAGAAUUUAGUCUGUGUAUAGUUUAUAUAACAAGAAUUUAGUCUUUUUGGUUUGAUAAAUCAUAAAAAAUAGUUUUAUUUGUUGGGAUUAUUUAUGAAUAUUCUUAAAUCAUAAAAUCUAUAUACGAAGUUUUAUCAAACUAUAAGCUAAGCUCUAACUUUUUCUAAACACUAAAGACUAAAAUUAUAAAAUAAUCAAUUUUAUAAACAUAAAAUUAUAUUCAUAAAUAAGCUAAUAAUAGUUUAUUUCAACUAAAGGUUAGUGAACAAUUUAUAAAUAUAUAAUUAAAAACACUUCAACGUUUUCUAAAAAAAACUAAAAUUCAAAAUUUGAAUUUCUACUGAACACAUCUAAAAUUAUAUAUAAAAUACGACUCUGUUUUUAAUUUGUUUUUAUUUAAUCUCUUGUUUUCAAUUUUUAUUUUUUAGAUUUCCUACUAAAUAGGUCCUAUGUUUCCACCAUCCUAUUUGGUCAUGAGUUAUUGAAACUACUAGAGUCAUUCUCACAAAUAUAUAUAGUUAAAAUAUUAUUUUAAUACCUAUAUUAUAAACUUAUAGUUGCACUCUAUUGCACGGUAAGACAAGUUGCGUCUACAAAUAUAACCAUUAUAUUCUCAUUUCAAUUAUGAGUUAUUUGUAAUUAUAACUAAGUGAAAAGUUUCUCAUAUCCCUAUAAUUGCUCUAUCUUCUUAAGUAUCAUUGACUUUCUAGUGAACAAUUUGCUUAUAGUCCAGAUAUGAAUCAUCCUUCAAGUCAUUAAAAGGUCCGUGUCUAUUGUUCAAGUCUCAAAAUCAACAUUUAAGGCAACUAUUCAUAUACUUUCCCAAUAUUGAAAGAAGAGACAUAUCAAAGAUUUCAAUUACAUUUAUCAAAUAUAGUUCAUUAGUCAUUGGUUUUAUGUUGCAUAUCAUUCACAUAUUCACAAGCCUCCUACUUGGACUAUACCCUUUUGGAUUAGAAUCGAGGUUCAACACUAUGACCUUUGUGGAAUCUGUUUUCCAUUUAGAUACAUGCCCAAAUCAAACCAUGACAAGGCAUCUAAAUAUACGACCAAGGAUAGCUCGCACAUGACCAAUGAAUCAUGCGGCUAAAACUAGAUCAUGCAUAUUUAGUAUCCGCCACGAUAGCAUCCUCCAUCUGAUUCGGCCAUGGUAAAAUACUAAAUACACGACCUGAGAUAGCUCACACAUAAUUUAUAUCCACAAGGAAACGCGUGACCAAAUGGAGCUCAUGCAUACUUAGCACAUACCACAGUAACAAUCUCUAUCCAAUCCAACCAUGAUAGCAUACUAAAUACACGACCCGAAAGUGUUCAUUAGAUGAGCACUAGUAUUUAAGGGCUAGAUGUAAUCCAAGGGUAAUAUGGUAAUUUUGACCCAACUAAUGUUACGAACACCCAUGAAUAACUAACUUACUGUUAUUGCUCUAUAUUUGUGGACAUAGAAAUAUAUCUACGGUGAGAAGAGUUCAGCUGUGAGUCAUUGGUGGUGUGUACACACAAUUAACGAAUAUUGAUUAAUGUGGUUAAUGAGUUUACCAAUUAAUCUCAUAUCGUUGUAGCUUCUAAUCUGUAGGUCCAUUAAGUCUCAUUUCUAGCUCGUAAAUGGUAAUACGAUUUAUUUAUAUUUGUUGUAAUUUGAAAUGUUCAAAUUUAUUUUGGAAAUUAGUAUAAUUUAUAGUGAUACAUUAUAAUAUAAAGUUUAUAUUUUAAUAAAAUUUUAUUACAUAAAUUUAAUUUUGGAUAUAAUUCAAAAUUAAUUUAUGAGAGAUAAAAUAUUUGAAUGAGUUCAAAUAUUAAUUUAAUGUAAAUUGGAUUCAUAUUAAAAUUAUUGGUUACGAGAGAAAUUUAUAUUUGAAUAUGAUUCAAAUUUAAUUUAAGUUAAAUAUAAGAUAUUUAAUUUAGCUAUUAAUUAAUUGAAAAAUUAAUUAAUAGUUUAGUUUUAUUUUAUUUAAUUAAAUUAAUCUAAAACUUUAUUUCAGGAGUGAUGCACUAAAACUUUUGUCUUUUUUCUAAUAUUCUUGCCAACUAAAUUUGUUGGCUAGUGCAUCAGCUCACCUAGCUUGUUAUGACCAUUGUCGCAUUGGCGGAACACUUCUCCUCGCGCGUAACGUUCUAUCACCAUGCUCUACUUUUUGUCUAAAAUUUUGCGAUAAGACAUGUAAAACACAAUAAAAUAAGGAUGAAGUUCUUUUGUGUUAUGCGAUACAUAAGUUAAUCAAUUUUUUUUUUUACUUUUUCCCAUAUUUUCUUUUGUUCUUAUCCGAUACGGUUUCAUUAGUUCACAUAAAAGGCCAUAAUAACUUGUAUUUCUACAAAUUAUCAAUUUUAUUUUUACAAUAGUCUCCGAUGUGGGUUCUUGUAAAAAUCAAUGUUUGUGAAUGAUUAAAUGAUUCUUAUAUUUAAAUACUAGUUACGAAUAUUCUUCAGUGAGUGGUACAAUGUUUUAUAAGUAUUGUUUGUAAGUGAUAAAUUUGAUUUAUAAAUGUUUUCUAUGUUUGAAUAUGAGUAUUCUUUUGUAAGUAAUCCUUUUACUGGACAAAUGUUAUGAAUGACAAUUUCGUUUUUCAACGUGAUUUAUAAACAUUUAUAUAUUCACGAUCUUCAUUUUGAAAAGGAUUGUUUUAUCAACAUGAUGAUGUAAGUAUUCUUCAUAACUCUAUGAUUAUGUUUAUGAAAUAUUUUGUAUAUUGUGAUAUUAUGUGUUAAGAGUAAGCUAUGAGCUAAUACUCGAGUGUUGUUAAUUGUGUGGUUUAUGUGUUGUGGUGUCGUUGAUCUAUCGCAAGACAUUGGUGAGGAUCCUAGGUAACUGGCUUGAUGUUGGUUGAGUGCAAAUCUUAGAUCUAGGCGAGAGGAGAAUCCCAGGUCGAGGCAAGUUGUGAUGUGUUCUUGAUGGUGGACGGUGGAAGUCUCAGGUAACUCGUGCGAUAUUGGUUGAGUGUGAAUCCCAGGUCUUUGCAAGAUGAGAACCCCAAGUCUAAGCAAGAUUGUGAUGAGACGUUGGUGGAGUGUGACUCGCAUGUCUAAGAAUGGUUGAAGGUGACGGGAUGCUGGUAGAAAUCUCAGGUAACUCGCGUGAUGCUGGUGAGCGCGAAUCCUAGGUCUAGGCAAGGGGAGAAUUCCAGUUCUCAUAGUUGAGCUUGUUACAAAAUAAUCUCAGUGUAUGGCAUAGUAGCAUUCGUUGUGGUUUGAUAUGAUGUGUGUUUGUGUGAUGCAUUUGACCUUAUUAUUUGUGAUUCUAUGUGUUUUCCCAAAAAAAAAUCUCAAAACCAUUACUCACUAAGUUUAUUUGACUUAUGUUUUAAGUUUUUUCCUCCCCAGGUUGUCAGUCGUUGAGGUCAUGCGAAGGCUAGUUCUGAGACAUUGUAGCUUAGUUAAGAAGGGGAGGCAGAGUUACUCUACAGUCUUACAUGACGUGCUAGCCAUGACAUCUCAUCAUGCGUUUAAGGAGUUGGUUAGUAAGAAUGCUGCUCCUUAUCACUCAAAACUCAGUUCAACAGUAAGGCAAGAGCAAAAGAGUCAAAGAAUUGAGGCAAGGAAAGGAAGCUCUCAAUAUUAUCUUAUAAAUUGAGGUUGUUGGGCGAACAAGGUAAAGAAGAGAAUGAUGACUUCACAUCUCUAAGUACCCCGAUCAAAGAAGCAAUUGAAGCGACAAAGAAAGGAAAGGAAGAUUUUGGAGAAUUUCCUUGAUAUGCAUUGAAGAUGACAAAAAGGAAAAGGACGAGAUCAGAGUCUUAUACACCUUGGCGCGAAAAACAACACCUUGGUGUGAAGAAGAAGGAUAUGAGAAGAUCAUACUUGGUUUUAUUUUAUGAAAAGCAAAGUUGUAAUUUGUAUCUUGUUUGAAUUCUGUAAGCGUUAAGAAUAAGGAGAAGAAGUUAAGUUAUUCCGCAGUGCUAUUGUAUUUUUCUUGAGUUGUUUUCCAUUGCAAAAGUGGUGAAGGUCUCUAAGGCUCAAUGAAAGAACUUUGCAAAGAGACAAGGAAAAGAGUUGUUUCCCUUAUUAGGCAUUUGACAUGUCAUCUCGCGAGAGCUAUGUGUUUAAUGUUUAGGCGGCACACACUCCAUUUGGUCACGUGGUGUGACAUUUUGGACGAGGCGUGACAAUACGAACAAGGCGUAAUGUAGAUUCAAUUAUAGGCUAAAGAGAAUGUUUUAUAUGAUUUAUGUCAAUUGAGAAUACUUUUUAUUGUGAUUUGCUAUACAAGUUUAAGAACCAUGUUCGUUCAUGAUCAAGUGUGCAUUUAGAAUUUAGAAAUUUAUGUUAUCACAAAAAUGUUAUGUGAAUUCAAGUUGGAAUCCACCUAUAUUUAGAAUCAUUUAGAAUACAGAAUUUAUGCAUAUUUCUGUUAGUUAUGAUUUAUUUAGACUUUAGAAUCUGCUGUGCAUAGAAUCACCACAAAAUAUACAUUUAUGCAUAUUUAAAAUCACACAAAUUUAGAAUCACAAGCAUCAUAAUACCUAUCUUUCUUGAAUUUAGCAAUUAGCAUCACAAAGAAAAGAAAAAAAGGAAGGAAGAAGUAAGAAAAUAAAACCGUCCCAACCCCAUUGGGUUGGGUCGAGCUCUCUGUUAGUAAAAUAAACUGUACAUUUCAAGUCGGGGAGGUUUUAAAGAAAAACCAACCCAACCCAACCCAAUUGCACCCUACUUAAUUAAUUCCACUAGUUUGUAAUUUACUCUCGAAACAAAUCCAAAUUAACUUUCUAUGUUCUUUUUGCAAGAGUUUCAAAGAAUGUACCUUAUAACGUCAUAUCGUGUGGGAAUUAAAUAAAUUCUCUAAAAACAUAUGGGCUGUAUAUAUAUAUGUCUUAACUUUUCCUAACCAUCUUUGAGUGGGGAAAUAUCUUCUAGCGACUGUUGGGGUUAUCUGAGAUCAAAUUUUAUGUUAAAUUGGGAGCUAGAAAAUGCUGUUAUCAACAUAUGGUCAAUCUAGAAUAUUUAAAAAAUGCGAGAUGGUUUAAUAAAGAUCAUUCAAAUUUUGCAUGUAUCGAAAUCUCAAGCAACUGUGUACGUAAUUUUGAUACUUAUAAUAAUCUUACAUCUCUUUCUCUGUCCAUGCUUUGCAAGCUCUCAUUAGUCUCUCCCAAACGUGAACUCCAUUGAAAAGUGGAUGAUGGAAGUUGAAUAUACUAACGCUUCUUGGUCUGUUGAGGGAGCGACUUGGUGGCUGCACUUUAGAGAACUUUGUGGACUUUGAAAGAAUACACUUUCAAAUACAAUCGAGUUACCGAGUUUAAUCCUAAUAACAUUUAGGCUUGCAUCAUAAACUUGGAAGGUAUCUAGGAGCAUUUCUCAAGAAAGGUAAAUAGAAGUGUCUCUGCUGUACAAUAUUCUAUUUUCGGUAAACAUGUUGUAAACAUUACAUCAAGAAAGAUGUGGCAGAAAAAAAAAACAUAAACAAACGCAAUUAUAGAACUUAAAUUUUUGUAUCAAUUAAAUUAGCUAAUACAAGAAUUAGCCUCCUUACAAGUUUCAUCAGUAGGCUUCUUGUCUUCCUUCACAGCGAAGAACACCAGAAACCCCAGCAAAGGAUAACUCAGCGAUGUGAGUGACCAAUUCACAACCAACUGAGACAUGAAGGAAACAUGGUGUGUGUCAAUUUGCCAUGCAACUGCAGCUCCUGCACUCUGCACUCCUUUAUAAAAUCCACUAUACCUGUGUUUCGUCUCCCAAUCAUUAUACAAAUAUAAUAUAAUCUCACUCAAAUAUUACACAUAACAUAUACAUCAAUGACCAUACCUGCUCAAAGUCUCUGAAUCAUCUGCCAAGGCUCCAAUAACCCAAUACACCAUACUCUGGAACAUGGCAUCCAACAGCCCAAAACAGAAGUACAAGAAGAAAGGCCCAACAAAAUCUGAACCUGAAUCCUUGAAAUCCAACUUGUCUAGCACGUUGUGGCGAGAGUAUCUAAGCUGGUUAGCCAGGCCACCUGCCCAUAUUCCAGUACCCAAUAGCGCCACCAAACUAAUUCCAAACAAACCUCUAGUCCUCCUACUCUUAAAACUGAAAUCCAAUAUGUAUCCAAUUCCAACCGACCCCACCAUCUGUGCUCCCCAGUAGAAAACAUUGUUGAACCCUCUUGUCCUCAAAUUAAACAACACCCCAUUCACAUUAUUGAAUUGGUAGGUAUAGAAAAAGUUGCUAGACCAAGCAGCAGGAACAAUCAACAACAUCUUCCAAUUAAGGAACAAUUUGAGAAUCUCUACAAACUCAACUGAUACGCUAGAGUACGUGAUAUUGGUGCAUCGUGAACCAUCAUCACGAACCACACGACUGGGGGGCAAAAUGGCAAGAGAGAUGAGAGCCCCAAUGGACAUGAAGCACAUGAAUCCAAUGUAGGUUCCAUCGUUGACGGAAGAAGCAGUGGUGCGAUGGUAGUUUAGUAUAAAGGGAAUAAGACCACCAACAACACCACCCAUGUUGAAAAUACUCCAAAAGAUGGAAAUGUAAGUGCCCUUUCGAUCAGGGGGGGGAUAGGAAGUCAUGAUGGCGCCUUCACCAGCCCAUAGGAAGCCAGCACCCACACCAAGAAUUGCUCCUGCAAUGAUAGCGAAGGUUUGGUCCUUGAAGUGAUUGUAAUAGAGGAAGGAGCCAGCGUAGAGAACGUAAGUGAUGCAGCCGGCGAAGAGGGUGAGACGAGGGCCAAGGAUGUUGUAUACGCCGCCGCCGAUGAUGCCGAAUAUUGCAAAAGUGGUGUAGAGGGCGGUGGAAGCGUUAUCAGCAACUGCUGUAUUCAUUUGGCCUCCACCUCCCAUACCACUAAGGGCAUUGAACAUACCAGGGCAGCAAAAGCAAACCAGUCCAAUUAAGAAAACCUGAACCAGGGGAGAGUUAAAUCUGAAUUGGGAUUUUGAUGAAACCCGAGGAGCGGAGGACUCUUCAUCUCCUUGGAAACCCAUCACCACCAAUGGAUCAAAGAAAGAUCGACAAAGUUUGGGUGUGAACCUGUAUUGAAUUGCGACGAUGGAUUUGUUGAAAAAAAUCCCUGAUUUUGAGCCAACUCUCCUCUGUUUGUUAUUCAGUUAGAUUUGAAGCUCAUUGGAUUCAGUUCUCACGAGCCGAGAUGAGGUUGGUUUAUCAAUAUAUAUUAAAGAUUACACCAUCGUUAGUCGAAGACCAUAACAAGAAUCUUGCGUUCCUGGCUUGCUCUGAUUUAGAUACUACUUUUACGCCCAGCAAUCAUUGCCUAAACAAUGUUUUGCCCAUGUGAUCAGACCUUCAAAGUUUGAAAAUAAAUGUUAGAAAAGUCGAAUUAAAUAACUUUCCAACAAACUCAAAAACUUAUUUUUUCCACCAAAUAUAUAUUUCUCCAAUAUAUUAUAUAUUUAAAUAUAAUUUUGUAGAUAUUCAUGACCUACUAUAACUUAUCAAUCUUCCUAUAAGUUUUGCUAGCUCUAACUUUAAAAAAAAAAAAAAAAAGUUCAAGUAAUUUAAAUUAACAUUCAUGUAAAUUAUAGUUUUUUAGAAUAAAAAACUCCUAACAAAUAAUGAUGAUAUAUCAUGAAACCACCUCUAAGUUAAAAAAAAAAAAAAAAAAAAAUUACUAUUAUAUUUUUUUACAAAUUUAGAUAUACAAUAAAGAGACUGUAAAAGUAUUUUAAAUUUAUACUCUACCUUUCAAAACGUUAGACAUAUUUUCACAUUAAUAUAAAAAAAAAAUUAACACCCAGGCUUAGUUAGAUAGAAAAUGGUAAUAUAGCAAAGGGCAAUGGUCACAAAAGUAAAAAUAAAAACAAAAAUCCUAAAAAAAGGUAUUUGAUAAUUAUUUUUGUGGGUGGAGAGAUAAAGAUCACAUAAGAUGGGUACAAGGUUGUACCCAUGCUUUUCUCUAUAGCAAAAGAGAAGUUCUGGUGAAGUAUUUUGGAACUCCAACUAAUGAAAAACCAAAUCAGUUAUGAAAUUUGCAGUUAUCUUUUAUACAAUAAAAUUUCAUAAAAAUCUCUAGUUCUCCUAAUUCACUGUUCUUUUUCUUUUAAUAUCGACAAACAACUUGCAAACCAACGAUAUAUUCUCAAAGAAAAGAUCUAGAAAGAUGUGAGUAUCUUUUUUGAGCACAGGACCUUUGAAAAAGCAAUAACGUACGAUGAGGUUGAAUGAAUAAAUCAUUUUUCAAAUGUAACGAAAGGCUUUAGAAAAGAGUAAGAACCUGUGUCAAAUAUACAUAUUUAUAUAUAUUGGCCUUUUACUUUAUCAAUCUAAAAUUUUGCUAUAUUUUAUUUUUAUCAAAUUUGUCUAUCUUUUACUCUUUACCUAUUUUUAAAGCACUACAAAACAAAUUUCAAGGCCGAUCAUUUCCAUGUUUUGUCUUGCUAUAAAAAGGGAAGAUUGGUAGUAGAAACUUGAAAUGGUCAUCACCAUUGCAUAGAACCACAAACUUAAACAGCGUAAGCAUGAUUAACGUUGCGUUUAAUUUUCCAGCAAUCUAUCUAAAAUAACAUAUCCUUAAACCUAGAUCAAACAAGAAAUUGAAGAAAAACUAAUUAAACAUAUGUGAAGAUGAAUUGAAGCCCAUAAACCUCGAUUCAGAAUUCGAAAGAGAGAGAGAGAGUAAGGUUACAGCCCAUAGAUUUGAAUCGAUCGAAAAUGAGAAAUGGCCUUUGAAUCGCAAGGUUUGUGAUCCAAAAAUCAGUAAAUAAAAAAUUGGAAGGAAAAGUAAGAACAGAAAAAUGCGUACCGUGGUGAUAGUGUGUUAUUUAGAGUUGGGGAAGAAGAGUUUGAAGCGUGGGUGAUGAAGGUAAUCACUCAAGGCUUGCUUGCUUGCUGGUGUGAUGAUUGGAAAAGAACGAAAAGGAAAUGGGAAAUUCAGUUGAAGAAAGAGAAUAGAAAGUAAAUGAUUUUAAACAAAAUAAGGAAUCUACUUAUAAAGUCUCUUUUCUUUCAUUAAACACGUGUCCCAUCAUCACUUUUCAUUUGUUUUUGUUUUUUCUUCAAAUGGUUUCAUUUCCACCGUGGCCAUUGUGAUUUUGAUUUAUGGUAGGGUCAGUGUUGUAAUCAAUGAUCAACAGACCAGACCACACGGUAUUAUAUAAUAAACACAAUAAAAAAUAUCAUAACGUUUCACUUAUGCUUUUAUAAUAUUCAUUUCAUUUGUAACAAUAAAGAAAUAUCGACAAUUUUCACAUAAUUUUGUGUAAUGCAAAUAUGUGAAUUUAAAAUUAUCAUUAAAAAAGAAAAACGAAAUAUUAAUACCUUUUGUGCGAAAUGUUGGUGAGAGAGUGGAAGUUUGAAUCACGACUUUGUUCAUUUUUUUAAAACUUUGGUUAGAUAACAAAUAAGAGCUAAAAAUUAAGUUAGAGUUUUAUCUUAGAUGAUUUUUUUUCUCUUUUUAAAAAAUAUCUUUCUUUUAGGAAAUUAUUGAAAUUAAGGAAGAAAUUUGAUAUUUGAAAAAGGAAAUUAUUGAUAUUUGAGAAAUUUGAAGAAAGAAAAUUAUUGAUGUUUGGAAUAAUAACUAUUUUCUGACAAUUUAUGAAGAAAUUUGAUAUUUGAGGAAAAAAAAAAUUAUUGAUAUUUAGAAUAAAAAUUAUUUCAUAAAAAUAAUUGUAGCAAGUGAACUCACAGCCAAAGAGUUGUGCUAGAAGAGCACAACCACUACAGCAGAAGCAGAAAUCAGGCAAAAUAAAGCUAAAUUCGAUAUAUAUUGUAAUCUAACACUUCAUGAUUAAUAUUAAAAUACAAAAUCUGAUAAUGUAAGGGGGGCACGUGCCCCCAUGACCCCUUAAUAGAUUCACCCUUGAUGAUAAUAAAGUGUUUUUGCAAAAAUAACAAAAAAAUUUAUGAUAAUAGGAGUCAUGUCAUUAUGUCAAUAUAUUUUCUAAAUUACAAAAGUAGAAAAUUUAAAAGUUGAUAACCUAUUAUUAUGGUUCGAUAGUCCUAUGAUUACCGUCUGAUAAUCUGAUAUCACUAAUUUUGUCAUAUUUACAAAAUGUAAAAAAUAUGUGUCAUGUGCUAUUUUUUUCUAAAUGUUUUUGUGAUAUAGUUUCCCUUACGAUAAUCUUGAUAGAUGGUGUUAUGAGUUAUAAUAGUAGUGUUAUGAUAUGGUUUUGUUUUUUAAAUAUAUAAUGUAGAUUCAAUACACAAAUUUCAUAAGUUUAUUUUAUUAAAUAAUCUUACUUAUGGUAUUCGCUCAAUAAAUUUAGCAUCCAUGUUUUUUUUUCAUAUUGCACAUCGAAUUAAAGAAGCUUCCCAAAUUAAACGUUCAUAUCAAUAAUUUAAGUUGUGAUCUUGUGUUUGCACUAAUUUGUUUUUUCGUUCAUAUAUAUUUGUCAUUAGAUGCAAUAUUUUUCUUAAAAUCAUUUUCUUUAAUUUUCUUAAUUACGACGUUCAUUCCAUAAAUUUGUUAUUAAAUCAUUAUUUUUCACCGUUUUUUUGCCUACACAUGUAAUGGAAAAAAGUAGGCUUUAUAAUUAAGUUUGAUAGAAAUUCUUUGUGCUCAAUCCUAGCUUACCUAGGAAACCUCUCGGUUCACUUACAUUUGGACAAGCGAGAGAAAAAGUUGUACUCAACGCAGAAUUAGAAGAAAUAUCAAUGCAUGGUAAGAAAAUGUACCUUAAGGAAAAGUUAGCAUUUUUUAUCAUAUAACAUUGUCCUCUCGUGUUAUAAGUCACAUAAAUAGACCCUUAAAUGAUAGUUCAACAAAAUUAUAACUAAGCGGAUGAGAGGCGCGAAACCAAUUCACGUAGUCAAUGUCGAAUGCAAUAUGCAAAGAGAAUGUAUAAAAAUAAUUCACAAGUAGUGUUGCCACGAGAUCACUCGUACAUGUGGGCUCCAUUAGACACAAGACAUUAUUAUUACUUUAUGGCACCUCCUAAGGGGACAUUAAAAGGUCACCUAGCGGAACCAGUAACGAGUCCCUUAUUGGGUAUAUUUUUAUAUACUCCUAGUAAUAUUCGUAUCUUCUAUCUCAUUUGCUUGCUAAAAAGUUGAGAGGCAAGGCGUCUUGCUUAAGAAAAUCUCGAGAUAGAAGUAAGAAUCUCAAACCUUGUUUGGCCAAGAGAAAAGCUAGAGAGAAAAUCCCAGUGCAUUUUAGGGCUAUGGGAGACAGAGAUCGAAAAACAGAAAAGGCAGAGAGCAAAUCUCAAUCCAUCUCAAGGCUAUGAUAGCCUGAGAUGAAAGACAUAAGGUUUUUAGGGAUGGAUCUCGGGUCAUCUCAAAGUCGUAUUCAGUUGAGACUGGAAGCAGAAGAAAGAAAUUCUACGAUUCUCAGGCAUGUCCAAUCGAGAAAAGUUAAGAUCUUGGUUGAUCUUGGACCAACCUCAAUCGAGAUCACUUAAAAAGAAAAUGCGUGAUAGAUCUCCAAAAAUUUCUAUCACGCGAGGUUAGCAUUUUUCGGACGCAAAUAGUAUUUUAAAGACCACAACCCUCAUUUCUCUUAUUUCUCACCAUCGUAGCUCAAGAGAGAAGAGUGGAGAGAAGUGUGGAGAUCGAGAGUUUGGUGUUCUUGGAAGUUUGGAAGCCACGACAACGAGAUUUAGGUCAAGCUUGGUUUGAAGUUCUUUGUCAAAAGGGCAUAUGAAAGGAAGGGUUUUGUCGAGUUUGAGCUGUGAAAUAAGAGUUAGAGCUUGAGGUUUAGAUUCAAAUAAGUUAAAGAUUCCUUUUUUUUGUUUAAGAAGAUUUAGAGCAACUUUGUAAGUUUUAUUUGGUUGUUGAACUAGACUUUAAAUUUGAUUAGGAGUUCGUUUGAGCUAGGGCAAGCUUGCUAGAAGUGGUUCUAAGUAAGCCAAGGUUAUUGAGACUUCAAAAGAGUCCAAGGUGAGUUGAAAAGAAUUUCUUUAAGAAGAAAGAAGGAAAAUGAAGAAGUGAAAGAGAAUCUAUCAUGGUUAAAACCAAGUUUUUAACUUGAAUUUUCUUGUUAUUUUCAGGACAGAAGAAAUAGGACAAAUUUAUAGUUCAAGAAUCUAGUUAAAAGUUGUUUGUGACUAAAAUGAAUGUAGAAUAAAUUCUAAGUUUGAUUUGAGAAUUUAUGUUUUAAAGCAUGUUUUGAGUUUAAGCAUUUAAAUAUGCUAGAUUUAUGAAAUUAUUUACAAAGCACGAGUUUCAAGUUUAGAAAUGUGUUAUGAGAAAGCAUGAUUGAGUUAAAGUUCUAAAACAUUCAAUUUGAGAAAUGUUUCUUAAACAUGAUAUUUAUAAGAAUGUGUUUGAAUGCUAUGUUUUCUCUAAAUGUUUGAGAAAGUUGAUUAUUAUAUUUAAAACAAAGCUAGAUUUCAGACUUGCUUAAUACAAGAGAUUUUCACCAGCAUGCUAACUUAAGUAAGUUAAAGUUUUAGUAUGAGGUUUCUAAAUAUGCUUAAGUCUAUACCAAGAUGUCUUGAUCUGAUAGCAACCCUACAGGUGGGAUUGUACUAUGCACAAAGAUCAUGUGAUGAGGGUAUCUAGUAGAUGCCUAAAGUUUCCAUCAUAUAGACUAGGUAAGAGAUGAAGACCUCUAUGAACGCCUAGAUUUUUUAUUUCAUGAUAGCUAUAGCGAGAUAGGGUGCUAUAGGCGUCUAAAGGUUCGUCUCUCAAGUAUUGAAUCAAGGGAUAAGACUUCCAUGCCUAGAGUUUCGUCUCAUAGAUACGAAGAGGUUAAGGUAUAGCAAUGAAGAAAGAAAAGAGAAAGUUAAAAGCUAAAUUUGAAAAGAAAAUUUGCUUUGCUAAGUUUAUGUAUCCUUUGUUCGAAGUUUUCAUUAUCAUGCUUUGUUUUAAAACUAGUCACUCACAGGGCUUUCUAGCUCAUCCUUUCAAUGUUUAAUUCUCUUACAGGUAGAGAUCGUGAUUUUGGUGCCUGUUAAAGCAUCUGCAUACUCUGCUAGAAGUUUAAUUAUAUUUUGUACAAUUCAUUCCAUGCAUGCGUGAUAAAUUGUAAUUAAGCUAAGAGAGGAAUUAGUUAUCGUUAUAUGUAAUAGAAUAGUAUGAUAGUUUGAUUUGAGUUUUGUAAUAGUGUUGUUUGGUUGGGACUUUGCUCAUCAGUUUGUCUAUAUAAGCCUAUUGAGCAGGUUGUCCACUGGUUGGGUAAAUCUGAGAAUGUUUUGCAAGAAUUUAAAUUAUUAUAUUCAAGAUAGACUAUUCUUUCUGCAGUUUAUGUAUAAGUUUAAUUGUUUAAAGAUAAAUAAAAGUUACAUGUUAAGCAGGGUUGACUGACAUUAUUAGAAGAAGAACGAGGUCGACUUCUCGUCACAUCUCGAGCCUAGUGAGGAAAUCCUCUGAGAUGGGGUGUGACACUCACCCUUUUCUAUGUUUAAUAUUCAGAAAAAUGUAAAGGAUUUGAAAAGCUUGCAAGCAAUAGAAAGAGCUCGUGACAUGACAUAUGGGGACCUAUUCUGCUUUUGCCUUUUCUUCAUUAGUUUUUCAGUAAUUUGAUUUUUAGAUAUUUUAUUCAAAUUUUUACCUUAUGUUUUUAUCUUUAUUUUCUUUAAAAUUGUUAGAACCCGUGGGUCAUGUUUUCACACUAUUUUUAAAUUUUAUCAAUUUUAUAUUUUUACCAACAUAUAUUUGAUAUUAUUUUAAUAAGAAUUUAGUUUUCCUCAUUCUAAGAAAGUGUCAAAUGUCAUUUAUCUUUUGGGUUGUUAAAGUUUAAGAAAUGAGUUUGAGAAAUCCAAAAUACUUUGCUAAGUUUAUCUAUUUCAAAUCGUGCAUGUUUUGUUUCUAAAAGUUGUAACUCACAGGGCUCUAUAGCUCACUCUUUCAAAAUGUUUUUUCCUUUUCAGUAGAGAUCGUGGUUCCGGUGCUUGACUACAUUUCGCCUACUUUGCUAAAAAUUUGAACUAUUAUUUUGUGUAUAACUCAUUUUCAUUCAUGUAUUUGGUCUCUAAUUAAGAUAGUGAAGAACUAAGAAAGUUGUGGUCUGUAAUAGGCUAGUACAUAACCAAGUGAGCUGGAAUUGUUUGUAGUAGUUUUGGUGUUGUCGUCUUUUCCAAAUUUGACAUCUUUAUGUCAAACUUGAUAAACUAGUUUGUCAAUGAGUUGAGACGGAUGUUGAAUGUCUUAGAAUAUACUGUGUUUUUAUUAAUUCCACAAGUUAUAUGUUUCUGUUUAAAGUUAGUUCAAAGAGCGGGUUAAGCAGGAUCAACAUGUGUCAUUAGAGGAAGAUGCAUGUCAGCUUCACACUAUCGUCUCGAACCUAGUGAGAAGUUGCUUCGGAAUGGGGUGUGACAUGCUGGUUGCGAGAAGGUUUGUGCUAAGUGGCCCAUCGUUGUGCUUAAGGCUUUUGGUACAAUUAGAGGUUUGUCUGUCCUUUUGGACUUUUUUGGGUCGAGGGCUUUCCCAUGAGUGCAGGUGGAAUCUAAGUGUGUGAAUCUUAUUAAUGUCAUUAAUUGUAAAUCUUUGGUAUUGACUGAUUGAACUUGGAAAGAUUGUCGGGGUGGAUUAUUUUGGUUGGUGCGCUUGCUCGACAAAUGAAAUCUCCCACCGUUUGGCAGGUGACAUGUUGAUGGAGGGGGAUUUGAUGGUUUUUUUAUUUUUUCCUUUUUUGUAGCUUUCUCUUCUUCUUCCUUUGAAGAAGUGAUUAAGUCCUCUUGUUGUAUUUCAAAUGUUUUCUCCUCCAUUUUUAGGUAGGAGGCAUGUGGUUUUGGCUAGUUUCUUGCAAAUAAAUUGUAGGUUAAAAAAAUACCCAUCUUUUAACCUUUUAAAAGAAAGAAAAAGACAACUUUUAACCUUCAAGUUUCAACCAUCUUUUGAUAAUAUGGGUAUAACAAUGAUCCUUUUUAUCAUUUUAAAUACUCCACAAUAAAAUAAACUAUUUUAGAUAAUAUAUUUUGGUUCAUAAUUUUAAAAUGUAAAUGAGCAUUUUAAAAAUGCUUUAGAAUAUAAUGAAAAUUUGAAGGUAUACGUAUUGCAAUAAUUUUUUAAGUACAAUGAUUGUAUAAAAAAACAAAUCCGUGACCUUAAAAGAAAAAAAAUAUAUAUAUACAUUACUGCUAAGUCGAGUUUGGUAGCAAUCAAACCUACACAACGAUCACUAAGCCAUAUUAUAAUGUGAUUAAAGAAAAGUUGUGCGAUGCAAUAUAAAAAAGGAGUAACAAUAUUGAAAGGAAUUUGAAUGAGUGCCUUGAAGCAAAAAUAAACCGGAAGUUUGUCUGAAGAAGCAAGCAAAGAAUUGUUUGCCAAUAAAUAAGUUCAGUCAAUUUCAAUCUUUCUGUAUCGAUCUUUCCCAUACCCAUCCACAAUCCCUUUCGUUCCAAAAUUCGAUCGCACUCGACCGGCCACCCGCAAAAUCAUGAAGGCAGGGACGAGCAACAAUCAGAAAGCCCUAGAUUCGAGAGACAUGGUCAACAGAGGCGGGGUUGAGCUAAUUAGGAAUUGCGAUCUUCCGCCGCCGCAGAAGGUAUUCAAGAGUGGGAUGGAGGAAAAAAUGGAGCUGUUGAAGGCUCUGAGACUGUCGCAAACGAGGGCAAGAGAGGCGGAGAGGAAGGCGGCAAAAUUGAUGGAGGAAAGGGAUUGUAUUAGUAGGGCUUUUGAAGACGAGGCCAGAAUGGUGUUCUGUUAUCGACAAUCCCUCAAAUUGCUGGAGCUCAGGGUUUUCAAGUUGCAGAAACAAGAAGAGGAAGAAGAGGAAGAAGAGGAAGAAGAAAGUGAUAAGAAUGGUGGAAAUGGAGGAAUGAAAUGGGUUUGGGCUUUGGCUAUUUGUUUGAGUGUUGUUGGAGUUGGCUUUCUUUUGGGCUAUACAUGUAAUCCUUCAUGAACCAUACAUUAUUACCUUUUUACCCCCUACUUCUUUUACCCAAUUUUACUCUUUUACUUUCUUAAAUAAGAGUAUAUUAAAAAUCGAACCAAAAACUACCACUAACAAAAGUAUUAGUAAACUUUUGUGAAAACAGUAAGAAUAAAAAUAUUUUAAUACAUAUUUCAUAAUAAUAAAAAAAAAUUAACCUCCCAAUGCUUCCACUUGACAACUCAACUUUGUACAUACUAACUACAUUUUUUUAAGGGUAUAUACGUCACAAAUAUGAAAAUAUUCCAAUCACAACUUUCAUCCUCAUAAUAGUAGUAGUAGUGUUUGUUCAUGUUUAAGGUAUGAAUUAAGAGAAUUUAAAGGAAAAAUAGAUCGAAACCAUGAAAAGUAAAAUUUCCUUCAACUAUUUGUAAUUGACUUCGUUAAAAGAUAGCUUAUAUUAGAGGUUAUAUGUUUCAACACAGAGAAAAUUAAUAAACUCCUAAAUUAAAUAACAUCAUAUAAUGGUUAAACUCUCCUCUCUUUUGCCACACAUACAUAUAAAUUACUACUUAUAUGCAUAGUUAUCACUAAUAUGGAACAAAAAGUAUAUAUUUUAUAUACAGUAAUAAAAGCAAGGUAUAAUAGAAAAUAAAGAGAAGUAUAGUAAAAUUUAGGAAUCGUACCUAACAGAAUAGAAGGAGCAAAUAUCAUUCAUGAUCCACACGGGACAGAUAGAUAUUAGUUUACACAUUGAAUGUAGAAUUUUCCUCCAAAAUUUAGCCGUCUUGGAAUGUAUGAUUUUGGAAAUAUUAGUUUGAUUUUGCACUUUCCAUUUAACAAAUGGUCACAUGUAUACUUUUAUACAGGAGAUUAAAAUGAAUGUUUUGCAAAUAUACACAGAAAGAGGAAUAAACAUAAAUUAUGGACGAACAAAAAUAACCCAACCAAUAUUAGAAAACUAUAUAAUAAUUUACACAUUUUAUAUUAGUUGGAAAGGCAGGGUAAAUGCCUGACUGUAACAUAUUUAAUUAAUGAUAUCUACAUAGAUGAUGAACUACCUAUUUGGGUUUGACUUAGUACUAUGUAAUAUUAUUUACCCCUAAUGAACCUAAUAAUAUAUAUUAUACAAAUACUAAUUCACAUUCACAAAAGUAAAAAGGCUCAAACGAUGGUCAUAUGAACGCUCCCCAAAUGGGCGUAGCAUUCAUCACUGCUACCAAAAUACUCCAAGCAAACCCAACAAAUAUGCCUACCACACCUGCAUUCAACGUGGUUGCACCCUUCAGUCUUCUCAAUAGUGUAACCGCACACAGGGCAGUUCUUCACAUUCUCUUUACCUUUCCGCCACUCUUUCAGUGACGAAUCUGGGUCUUCCUUAAACACCCGAUACUGUUCACAAGAUAGGAAAGGAUGAUACUCCAAAUGGCACCUAUUACAAGUUUCUGAGUAGCAUGCUCCACACACAAAUGGUUCCCCGGGCAUAUCGGGCCUGGCCACUCGGUAAACUGAGGGGCAGUCAGGAGACGGGCAAAACCUAUAGGCACCAUCACUAGAAGCAAUAAAAGCUCCCAAUGAAGCUCGGAACAAUUCCUCCAACUUCUCGCUUGACAACAGAGUUCUCAUAUCUGCAAGUACAAUAGGAGUCCCACAUUUCUGUUUAGCGCAACAUAUUGGGAAUCGUCCCUGAUUUUUUAUGGCGGAUUCAAACUGCUCCACAAGGCAUUGACGGCAAAAAUGGUGUCCACAGACUUCAAGCUCAAACCUAUCGUCUUCAAUGUCACAUAAGCAGAUUGGACAACAAUCUGCAUCAUCAGGCCUCUCGCCUGAACCACCACUUAUCGUUGCAAGCUCAAAAAUGACAGUUUCAACUUCCUGCUUCAAAUCCUUACUACCCUGGACAUAUAAGAUAUGACGCCGAGUAUUUAAUGUAAAUCCAGCCCCUGGAAACUUUUGUUUAAGGGCGUUGAGAUCUGGGCCAAACUUCUCAACCACUGCCUUCAAGAGGUUGGGAGGCCAAGAUUUGCCUCGAAGGUGAAUCUCGAGUUGUUUGCUUUCGUGAAUUAACUGGAGGGAUUGAAUCAACUUCCGCUCAGCUGCAGCCAUCUUCUCAGAAGCACCAAAAAUCCGCAGACUAAGCCUCUGCCUGUCAAAGAGAAUGUACACUCCAUUUUCCCGCUGUAGAAGAUUUAUUAAAUCAAAACCAUCUCUAGAGGUCAGGUGCUGCAAAACAGCUGGAGUCAGGCUAGCAUCGUCUAUAAUCUUCCCUCUCAGAAGCUCUUCCACUGGUCGUCUCAGCUCAGCAACUGUUUUUGUGGCAUUGGCAGAUAGCUUCACUCGGUAAGAACCAUUGACGUUUUGAGAAAGAGUGCAUUCUACACCUGGUUCACGUGAACAAUCAAGAUCAUCAGAAUCUGACUAAACCAAGCUAUCAUCAUAUUUAUGUAGUCUCCAACCUUCAAGAAGGAUUGCCACUGGCACAUACUUGUGAUAAAUGCAGAAAAUAAAAGCAGGGGUAGAAUUUACAAAUUUGCAACGUGUAAACCUCAUCUGUGUUCAAGAUAGACCAACAAAAUGAUAUGCCAACUUUGAUGUAGAUUACCAAAAACUUCUACGAGCAUCAAAUAUUAAAGGACCCCAUGUAAAUAUUUAAUAAAAUGCAAAAAAUACGGUGCUAGAAUAAGAUAUAACAGAAAAUUGACCCAACAUUUCAAAAGUUGUUAAGAAAUAAAGAAUAGCACAUGCAUUGAGAAAAGAGACGGAAAAAUACAUGAUCAAACAUUGAAAAAAGAUGAAGAUCCAAUAAAGAAAAUACCAUCUAUCCUCCUGAAGCUUUCAAGCAAGGAAUCCAGUUGAUGUUUUAUCACUCUAUAUAUGUCAAUGGUGCAGGAUAAAGUGCUAUGAAAUAGCUGCUGGCACUUUAUUUUCUGCCAUGGAAGACAUACAGGCAGCGCUUUCCCUUCCAAGAACUCCAAAGCUUUUGCUGCCUCCAAGUGCAAUCUUCCAUCAAAAGUUAUCACAGCUUUCAUGUAAAAAUCCUUUGGUUGAGGUGGAAAAACUUGAACACGACAACAUUUGACAUGAGGGUUCAAUUUAGGCAUAAAAGGAGAAAUUUCUUUCAGCAGGGACUCUUCACAAGAAUUAACUGGAGGGUUGUCAACAGCAUUUUCCCGAACCAGAAAAAGAUCCAAAAUUUUCCUAUCUGUUGUAGUUCUCAGAACAUUUAAAAUAUCAGCUUCAGAAAGCUCUUUGUCGAUUCCACUAAUAGUAACACAGUCAUUGUACUUUAUGCUAGGUUCACAACGUAAGAACCUACCUCCAAUCAGUAGGCUAGAGAAAUCAUUAAGAACGAAACCCACAUCAUUAAUGUUACAUUUAACAACAGCAAAUCCUUUGCUCAACCUACGAGGCCAGAAUACUUUAGCUUUUACAGGAGGGAAAGUGAACAUCUUAUUAUCACAUCCAGCAGUCAACCGUGAAGGAAUUAUCUUCAUCAAGGAUCCACAAAAGGAAUCACAAUCAAUCUUGGAAGCUUUUUCAGCUGCAUCGGGAGUAAGAAAUGUUAUUCUAUAUCCUCUUUCUUUGUUAUCAACAUCAUGUCCAGAAUUUGGAACUUUUUGAAUACCACAAAUUGUACCAGAUACAAAAUUUUCAAGAGACGUAAAAAACUCCUUAUCAUCAAUGCUGUCCACAUUCAAACAUAAUGCAUAAACUGUCAAAUAUCUCUUCUCAAGCUCAAGAUGUCUUAUUUUAGCACCAGCACCCAACAAAGCAACUGGAGUUGAGCCACCAUUUCCAUGAUACAAGCAUUUCUCCAUGCAUUCAUUCAACAAAUACUUCCUUUCAUACUCCAAAACAUCAUUUACAAAAUGACACACCUCAUCCAUGUUCUCUGUUCUCGAAAACAACAUAACCUCAUUCUGAUUGAUAUUCACUUCAAUGCCUAUGCAGUUAUCACUGAAAACUUUUCGAACAUGUGCAGUAAGAGAAAGAAGAUUACUGUUGCUUUUCCCACAAACUCUUUUAAGUACAGUUUUGCCAAAACCACUAAGAACUCGUCCUUCAAGCCUAUGUUUCUCCAUAUUAGAUAUGUUAAACAAAGGAGGAGGGGAAAGGGUCAAUAAAUCAUCUGCGUCAAAAGCAGUUACACAGACCAAAUAUUCAUUGAAUAUUGACAAAAUUUCACCGAACACCACCCAUUUGGGCCUUUCACUAAAUAUUAGCAAAGAACAUGACGGAUGUAGCUGAACAUGCUGUCCAGUCAUUGCCACUUCAUAACCCAGUCGAUCAUAACCAGUGAACAUGGCCACAUUCUCAGCAAGAGAACCAAGUAUGCAUUUCUUGAUAUUUCUGUCAUGAUCUGAAGGCUUUAGCGGACUCCAAAGCCAAUAACUGGGAAUAAUAAUGUGAAGUUCUUGUUUGAGACAACGUUCCAAUUCCAAGAUAGCAUCUUGGCAUCUUCUCAUAGUUUUGGCAUUAAUGCUGUUCUCCCAACACCAUCUGUUUUUCCUCUCCUUAGGCAAGGCUUCGUAUUGUUUAUAAACCGAGAGCAGCGUGAAAAGGUCACCAUCAGGGUGGCAAAAUUGAACUUUCUGGCAAUCAGAUUUUAAUUUAUCUUCAACUCUACCAACUCGGCAAAAUAUACUACUAGCAUUUGUCAUUAAAACAGAAAGUACAACACCCUCUCUACGAACACGACAAUCAAAGCAACUAAGAAUCAACUUGCCAAGUCGUGGCUCAAUGCCCAACUUUACUAAAUUACGACCUUCAUUUGUUAAUUCGUAAACCUUAUUAUUCAGUGUAAUAGCACCCAACUGGACGAGAUUUCUGAUGGCCAUGUCAACAGCUUCAGCACUGGGAGCAUCCACAAAGUCAAAAUCAUCCACAUUCUUUACACCCAAGGCAAGAAUUCUUAAUAUUGCAAUACCCAGAUGAACCUUACGAAUCUCAGGUUCAUGAUUUGGAGACAUUAGCUCAAACUCCGACUCUGUGUACAGUCUAUAACACCUUCCAGGUUCUGUUCUACCAGCACGACCAGCUCUUUGAUUUGCAGAACUCUGGCUGGUUCUGCAGACCUUAAGAAUAUUCAUACCACUUCCAGGUUCAAAUUUGCUAUCUUUGACCCAACCAGGAUCUAUAACAUACUUGACACCAGGAAUCGUCAAUGAUGUCUCUGCAAGAUUUGUGGCAAAAAUAACCUUUCUCUUUCCAGGAUGGUCCUGGAACACACGAAAUUGCUCAUCAAAGGACAGCUUACCGUGAAAUGCCAGGGGAACUGUACCAGGAGCAUGAAAAUUUUCACAUGCCCAUUCUACUUCCAUCUGAGAAGUCAAAAAUGCAAGAAUAGCCCCUUCUUUUUCUUGCCAGUGAAUCUCAUAGGCCAUUCGUACAACAUCAUUAACAUAUGAAGGGACAAUGCAAGAACCAGAAAUGCCUUCAUUGGAAGAAGGAACAUAUUUAAUAUCAACAGGAAAGCUCCUUCCCGGAACACGAAAGAUGCCACACCUAAAAAAGUACUUUGAUAGUUGGUCUGCAUUGGCUGUUGCAGACAUAAUAAUAAGAUGCAAGUCAAUUCUCACCAUGAGUAAACUCUUGAGUAACGCCAAAAGGAGAUCAGUACUCAAGCUUCUUUCGUGAGCCUCAUCAAUUAUAAUGUAAGAAACACCAGAAAGCUUCUUAUCAUUCAUGUAGUGCUGCAGUAAACAGUGGUCCGUCAUGUAUAUUAUCUUAGAUUUGAAUUGUUGAGCAGAUGAAAAGGAUGGAUAACAGCUCAUAUAAUCAUCAUCAUUAUAACACCCACGGCUUUCUUCGCUCACCCGAUGAGCAAGCGAGACAGCAGAUAUCUUGCGAGGCUGUGUACACACAAUUGACUUAGAACCCGAAAGUCCUGAAUCAGCCAGAAAUUGAACCAACUGUGUGCUCUUUCCUGAACCAGUCUCUCCAAUCAAUACCAUUACCUACAUAAAAAAUUAUACACAACUAAGUUAUUAAAGUCGUGAAUAGAUUAAAUAAGACUUAGAAGUUAAUUGAAAAGCAAACUUAUAUGAAAUGUGAAUGAAAGAACAAUUAGACAAACUUCAUCACUCCGAAUUCAUGUAGAAAACAAAUUUGAAAAGAUUAUUGUAAUCCAGGAAGUUCCAAACAUUUGCCUGCCAGUGCCAACCCCUUGUUUAUGAAAGUUGGACAACGUAAGAACAUUUCAAAGAGUUCAUAACAUCAAGAGACAAGUUCAUUAGCUGACUGGAAAAAUUAAAUCAAUAUACUGGAAAUGCAUCGAGAGAAAGUGCAUCUCCAGUGGAGGAUGAGCUGUGUCGUUUCUUAAAUUAUUUCAUGUAGAGAAUAAAACUAUUUUUCCAAACUGUUUGUCUACAUUGAUGCAAAAGGCUUGUUAUUGUGACUUUUGCACGAUUAACAUAUUUUUUUAAAGAACCUAUGUAUUAAUCACAAUCCCAAAGGUGGCAUCUUUUCUUUCAGAAAUAACGUUUGCAUAUGCGUGUGCAAUGUUAAACAGGCUUGAUAAACUAUAGGUUUCUACCUCCAACAACUAACCACGAUCAAACAAGUAGAUAGAAUGAAAAUUUCAAGGCGAAAAUAAAGUCGAGAGCUGAAGAAGAAAGAGGGACCUGUUGAUACUGAAUUUGUCGAAGGAUUUCCUGGCGGCAAGAAUACAUGGGCAAACCAUCCUCAAGUCUGCGGCAUUCUCUCAAAAUCAAGCUAUGAAUCCGGUUCCAGUUAAUUGUCCCAUCAAAUGUAAAAAUCCCCAUGCCAUGGCUAUCUGACGUUUCCAGUUUCUUUCCUUCCACAUGAUCCAGAAUGUAACGCAUGGCAGAGUUAAAUUCUUCCAUCUUCCUCACAAUUGAUUCCUUCUCAACAAGAAGCCCCUUCUUCUUUUCAUUGAGUUUAAAAGCAGCGUCUAUACGAAGAGGCCUCCGAAGUGUAUCAGAAAUCCGAUUAAUCUGGACCAUAACAAGAUCGUAUUUGUUUUGCCAAUGUCGGACCUUGUCGCCAUCCAUGAGAAGCUUGAUACGUUCAGCAAAGAGGUUCUGAAGACGUUCGUGGAGUUCGUCAACAUCAGAGGGCAAAUUGAUCCUAGGUUUGAGAAUAGGAGUGAAAUCAUGAAAGCCAGUGAGGCGCAAUUCCCAGAGGGCAACCAUAUACUCGAGCGCAGAAACCCACUGCUUGAAAAACAAAAAGGCAGCAACAGAACCAACCUGAGGGAUAAUAUAAUUAUCCGGCUUCGAGAUACAUUUAGCGAUUAAAAGCUCAACAGAACACUUGGAAAGGGUGCGAUGCUCCAAGACAAGGUCAAUAGCGAAAUUGGCGCGGUUUGGGCAAUUUUGUUGGGCGGAAAACUUAGAAGGAAAGUCAGAGGCAUUGGGAGAACGCGGCAGGUAAUGUAAGUUGGAGGGUCGAAUGGUUCGGAAGGAAGAAUCCGGUGGGCGGGAGGCGGUGGAAGAAGAAGAAGACUUCAUGGUGGCAUGGAAGAGAGAGAAACCCUAAAAAGCAGAGAGAGGGAGAGAGGGUUUGAGAGAAGAGGAUAGAAAAGAAGAACAAAAGGAGAAGAACCUGAUGAGAGUGGUUUCGUUGGAGGAUUGAUUAUGGCUUCUCUUUGUGUUGUUGGUGUUGUUGGUCUCCAAGACUUGGAAGUCUUUCGAGUCUUCUCUUGACAGUGUAUCACUUUCUGGUGGGAACAAGUACGAGAAGACGAAGGGAAUUAAUAUUUUGGGACUUUUUGAAUUCUGAUUUCUUUUCCUCUUAUCUUUUUACUUGUUUUUUCCCACACUGUUGGCUUUCAGAUAACUUCUAGUAAUGGAAAAUUCUUUGGUGUUUCUUACCCAAUGACUGCUUUACCAUUUGAUGGUCAGGAUUUUUUUUACUUUUUAACUUUUAAGUAUUUGAUGAGUUAGAUUAUAACUCAACUAUUUGGGUAUUUGUAGCAAAAUUUUGGAUUCUAUCAGUAUAGCAUAUCAAUGACUAUAAGUGAUAGAAUUUGGUAUAGGUUGUAAAUAGAAUUUUCUAUUUUCUUUUUGCAAAGAGCAAAAGCAUUAAUGUUUUUUCUUUUUGAUUAAUUUAUUUAAAAAAAAAAAUUUCUUUAGAUAUUUAUAACUCUUUUUCCUUCUGACAUAGAAAAGGGGUUAGAGAGAAUCAUCAUAUUCUAUAAAUUUAAAAAAUAUUUUCAAAUCAAUUAGUUAAUAUUUAAUUAAAUAAUAUUUUAUUAAUAUUUUAUUUAAAUCUUAUUUAGUGAAUAUCUCUCAAAUAUCUUAUAGUUUUUUAUUAAUUUAAUUAUAUCAAAUUAAAUUAAAUUAAAUUAAACUAAACUAUUAAUUAAUUUUCCAAUUAAUUAAUAACUAAAUUAAAUAUCUUAUAUUUAACUUAAACUAAAUUUGAAUCAUAUUCAAAUAUAAUUUUCUCUCAAAACCAAUAAAUUUAAUAUGAAUCUAAUUCAUAUUAAAUUAGUAUUUGAACUCAUUCAAAUAUUUUAUCUCUAAUAAAUUAAUUUUGAAUCAUAUACAAAAUUAAAUCUAUAUAAUAAAAUUUGAUAAACUUUAUAUUUAUAAUGUAUCAUUAUACAUUGUACUAAUUCCUAAAGUAAAUUUAAAUAUUUCAAAUAUAACUCAUAUAAAUAAAUCGCAUUACCUUUUAUGAGCUAGGAAAAUGACCUAAUGGACCUACAGAUCAGAUGCUACAACGAUACAAGAUUAAUUGGUUAAACUCAUAAUCCACAUUAAUCAAUAUUCGUUAACUGUGUGCACACUCCACUAAAUACUCGCAACUGAAUUCUUCUUACUGUAGAUAUAUUUAUAUGUCCAUGAAUAUAGACUAAUAACAGUAAGUUAGUCUUUCACGAGUGUUCGUAACACCAUUUGGAUCAAAUUAUCGUUUUACUCCUAGGUUACCUUUAAUCCUUAAAUACUAGUGCUCCUCUAAUGAACAACUUGUUUAUGAUCCUACCAAUAAACAGAAACCCCUUUCGUGCCAUAGAGAGGGUAGGGUCAUUUGUUCAAGUCCUAGAGACACUAUUUAAAGGAACAUUCAUCUACUUACCCUAAAAUAGGGAAGGAAUGAAUUCCAUAUUGUGUAAUUGUGUUCCCAACUCCUCACUUGAGCUUGUUCCCAAAAUGAUAAGCUUAUUAAGUCGACGAUCUGACCACUCUCAUCCAUACAAAUCAAACGACAAUCCCUUGCUAAUAGGAGUUCAUAACACACUUAGGAUUAAAACUAAGUUACCUAGGUCAUCCUAAUAAAAUAGAAAUCUAACUAGUUAAAUGAGUUACAUAUAGUGGUUACUAUUUCACGGUUCGGUCCUAUAUAAUGAUACCUUCACUCGCAUGUCAACUACUCGAACACAUUGGAUAAUUGCGUUUGUAUCAAAUACAAAGUGAGUUGUAUUCAUAGUGUUACCAUGAUAAGAUAUCAAACCUUAUCUCUAUACUAUAGACUCUUUAAGCUGAUCUCAACAUUGAUCCUUGUAUAUCUCUACAUACUAUUCAAGACUCAUUAAACAACUCAGGAGGUUAGUUUAUUGGAUUUGGUCAUUAAGACAAAACUAAUAAUAUAACUAAUAACAAUUAUUGCAAAAAAAAAAAAAAAAACACUUUAUAACAACGGUUAAUGAACUAUAUUCACCAUGUAUGAGUUUUAGAACAUAAAUUUCAACCGUUAAAAUAUAGAAUUUAUGAAAGAAGGAGCAAAGGAGUUUUAUUACAUUUAUAUAAAUUAACAUUUAAACAAUCUAUUAGAAUAUUUAUCACAUUUUUACCGUAUUUUUUAACUAUUUUGAGCAAUCCAUUUGAAAUACUUUUCCUUAAAAUAUGUAGUGAUUAAGAAAAUAAAUCCAUUCUCUUGAAAAAAAAUACCGUGAAUUUAAAAAUUAUAUAAAGGCAUAAAUCUUAAAAUAUGUAUUUAAAACAAAUGAAAAGAGAUAAAAAAAGUACAAAAGCAAGAAAAAUAGUAAAAUUAUUAUAAAUCAAACUUGUGCAUUUACGAAAUAAAAAUAAAAAACUGAAAAAUAGAAUUUCUCCAUCUCCUUUUUCAAAAUUUAUUUAUUUUUCGCUCUCUCUCAUCUUUACAAUAAAUACAAUAUAAUUUUUUCUUAUUCUUUUUUCAAUACACAUCGGGUCCUUAUUAUCUUUUCAAUACAUCUCUCCUCUUUAGCCACAUCUUUAUCGUAUACAAUAUCAGUUAUUUACUAAGUAGUGUGUCCUUUUCUGUUUUCAAUACACUAUCGUUAGAUUUGGUACAAGAUUGUAUACCGAGAUCGUUUAGAUUUAAUACAAUAUUCAAAACUCCAUGGAAACUUUAGCCAUUUCUAAAAUCUGAAAAUAAGAUUUUUAUGGGGAAUGAACAAGGGUAUUUUGAGUAUUAAACUUGUCAUGUUUUGAACCUAGAAAUAUUUUUAUAGUGAGAAGUACGCGAUGAGAGUAAACCCUAAAUAACCAAUAAAACUAGAUCACAUUUUGAGAAGUUAAAAAAUGCAAGGAGGUAGGUGAGUCUUGAAGGAGGAAUUGUGCUUGGGACAAGUAGUGAUACAAAGUGAUGCUUGAGGAUAAACAUUAUUCUAAAUUUGGGGGUGCGAUAUUUUGUAGAAAUACAAGUGGUUAUAGCCUUUUAAAUAUAAUAAUGGGACCAAAAUGCAUAGUAAAUGUAUCAAAACGCAUACACUAGUACAAAAGUGGUCUACGACGACAGUUAUUUACUGUCGUGAACGGAUUUCGCGACAAUUAUUUUCAGUCAUAGAAGCGGGAGUCAUGGAAAGGCCUUCGACGACAGUUUUUGAAAACUGUCGCAAUAUGUUAUUUUAUGACAUGAAAUAAAUGUCGUUAAUCAACAUUCAACGACAUUCAAUAACUGUCAUAAUCUAUUUUAUGACAUUCAAUAACUAUCAUCAUUUCUUUAUUAACGACAGUUAAAUAAUUGUCACGAAUUCUAUUAUUGUGACAUGUAUUAAUUGUCAUGAAUAUGUUUUUCGCGACAGUUUUUUUUUGUAAAAAUGUCAUUGUUUAGUUAUUGACGACAUUUUUUUCCAGUCAACGAUUGUGCAAUCGUGACAGUUUUUCGAUAACAUUAAAUGUCAUUGUUUUGCCAUUGACGACAUUUUUUUCCAGUCAAAUAUAAUGCAAUCGUGACAGUUUUUUUUUUAAAAAAAAUUGUCAUUGUUUAUCUUAUGACGACAUGUUAUUCCUGUCACAUAUAGAGCAAUCGUGACAAUUUAUUUUGUUAAAUAACUGUCAUCGUUCUCCAAUUUACAACAACUAUUAACUAUCACAUUUCUCAAUUUCCUAUAGUUUUAUCAUGUUCUCCAUGCAGCUCCACCAUUACACGAACCAUUAGAAUGACAAUAAUGUAGCUGAGAAUGACAAAUUUGAAAUUAUACAAGUUUCACACCAAUGUACAAGAAAAUAGCCAACACUUUAAUAUAUAUACACUAUAAUACGAUUUAUAAUAUUUGUACAUCUUAAUACAAGUUUCAGUAAUCCACAUGUACGAAAUACUAACCCUUAAUCAAAAAAUAUCUUAAAUAGCAUUCGAAUAUAUUUGACUGGACCAACCGAGAAUGUUCGUUUCUGGAAAUGAUAUUUGAAACAAAACUCAUGAACUUGUCGACUCCAGUUGAACCUACAAAGAAUCCAUAACACAUACGUACAGUCAAUGAAUAACUAAAUCAACGUCUCAACAAAAUACAGAACACAAACAAGAACUUCAACACUUGAUUCCAUGAAAUGAAAAGAGAAGACCAUGAGGACUAUAUUAGGCAAACACAGCAAACAAAAACAUACUGCUACUCUUUCUCUCUAGAAUACACAUACCAAAAACAUACCCAGCUCACUCUCCCAUUCUCUAUUCAUUUUACUACCCCACUCAUGGUGGUCCCUCUUCAAAUCUGAUAAUGAAAAUGAAGUUCCUAAGAAGAGGAGAAAGAGAUCAAGGAGAAGAAGAACGUCCAACCAAAUGGCCACUGCAAAUUGAACAACUUCUUGGGUUGUUCCUAGUCCUUAGAACAAAACAGCCUACGACAAUACAUGUACGACAAUUUGUAAUCCUUAGAGUUAAACAGUUUGUAUUAUGCAAUCAUCGCCAAUAAAGAUGAACUAUGAAUAUCUUCCCCACAUAUCAUCAGCUGUAGUCAGAAUUUACAAUCAAUUGACUAAAUAGCUCUAAAAUAGAAUAGUAUUACAAAGUAAGCAAAUAAAAUAACAUACCAAAUGAACAUGAGACUAUAAAUGUUACCUUAUAGGAAAAUUUUCAUAGCAUUGGAGUGUCGAUUUCUUGUCUUUAGAUACUCCAUAAAGAGUAAGCACAAUGGCUAAAUUCUCAAUUGGAGAUACCAAAACUAAAGUCUAUCCCCUUAAGGUAAAGUCAUUCUCAUUAGUAGACAUAACCAAAUACAAUCAACCAACUUCAGAAGUAACCAUUUGAUUUCUUGUCAAUAAACUAAGGUUUUCAACUAUUAGGAAAUCAGAUACUUAGAUUUAAAAUAAUUUACAUACAUACCAAAACUAAUGGACGUCCACUUCUAAUAUGAACCUUUAUUUAUCCUUGAACACUUCUGUGAGGAGCAACAGUUACUGUGUAAGAAUAAGAUAGCUUAGUCCAUGAGAGAAAAACCGGAGUUAAAUUUCUCUUCUAACUUUCAAGCAUCUAAGGAAAAAUUUAGCUAACUUGCAUUCAUCUCCAUAGAGCACUAUGAUAUAAGAUAAUUCUAUUGACACAUAAUUUAAUGAGUCAUCUCAUGAGGAUAAAGAACAUUAACAUAAAAGGAAAAAAUAAAAAGUAAAUCAAUUGUUAAAGUAAUACAUACUUCGAAAGAGUGGUUGAUCAGAUGAGCAAUGCUUCCAGCCCUUGUAGCAUCAAUUAUUCGUUCAUCAUCAAUUCCAAACAUGUAAGUGCCAGCACCGUAAAAUAACUGGAACACAUUAACUUUUCUCGGUCCAAUUCCAUUACAGUGGAAGAGGAAAAUCCAAAAUCUACUAGAGGAUGCACAGAGGAAUGCUUCUAAAUUUACCAAAUUCAGUAAACUCACAAUUCACUUAUGUCCAGAGAACCAUUUUAUUUAAGCAACCGAACGUUUAUUGAAAAAAUAAAAGGACCAAGGGCAAACAAAACUCUAUUCAUAACAGAAAUACCAAAACCAAACGCGAAAGUACUAUAACAACCUUGUAAACUCAGGUAUAAUGAUGUGUAAUAUAUGAAUGGCAUUCUUUCAAAGGAAUAAAAAAGCCCAUAUGAAUAUAUCUUGGAUGAAAUCAUUUUUCAAGAUGCAGUCUUUUGACGUCCAUUAAAGAGAUACUUACCUUGGAGAAUAUAUCACGGUUGCGCAAGUUGGAUGUAGAGAAUGAAAGAUGCCAUUAGAAGAGGAGAAAAAAUAGGAAGAAGAAACGAAUUAGAUGGCUAUAAGUUACAUGAAGUUAAGAAUAAGCAACGAAGGAGGAAGCAACCAUGGCUACAUCUACAACAAAUCUAAGAUGUAUACUCCAGAAGAUAAUACAACCCCAUUGGAAACAGCAACAUAGAAUAGAGAGGGUUGCCGAAAACAAAAUUGGAAGAGGGCGACGGUGGCUGCUGAAAAUCCGUCACCUGGAGGUGGGCGCUACACACUGGCAUUCAAUGACUAAAGAAAACAGAACGAUGGGGCCUCACCGAUGUUCGGUGCCAGAAGAAAAUGAAACAAUGGGGCAGAAAGCGACAAAGAAACGCGGGUGGCCAUUCACCGGCGUCCGAUGCGAGAAGAACGUGGGAGGGAGCUUGUGGUGUUCUAUGGAGAAGAAAAGAAGAUUGAGGGUGGGGGUUUGUUCUGCCGAAAAAAGGGGGGGAGGGAGGGGAAGGGUUUGUGAGCGAGGGAAAAUGUGGGGAAAGGGAAGAAGAUAAAAGGUGAAAAUUUUAAAAUUUUUAAUAAGUUUCUUUUAAUAAAAUAAGUUUUAAUAGAAGAGGCGCGGCGGUUGCGGCUGGGGAGAAGGGGAAGGACGCACGGGGAGGAAGAAGGAAAUAGGGAAAAGAAAGAAAAAGGAAAAAGAAAAGAAAAGGAAAAAAAAAAAAAUUUAACCCUAACAUUCUAUGACAUUUAAUAACUGUCGCGAAAAGUGUUUUCCGAAAAAUUCCGUCUUUUCCCGCCAAAAACGCGAAAUUUUCUAUUUCGUGACAGUUUUUUUUUCUUCCAUUCAUUUUUUGAGAUAUAUAACUAUCAUUGUUGGGUUGUUUUCUUCUAGUGAUAGCUUCUGUUGUAAAUUCAUAAGUAUUUGGAAAUACAUUCUACAUAAGUCUCCAUGUUGUUUUAACUUGUUUUCAGUGUCUUAACGCAUGAAUAGAAACAAAAGAAAAAUCUAGUGAAUCAGAGAGAAACUCGCAUAAAGGCUACGCGAGAAGAACCCGUUUGAAAAGUACAAUCUCUAGAUGAGGAUCUACGUCAUCACCCGAUAAAGGUUCAUUAGAAGACAAGAGUGGUAGUUGGAGUUGAUGUGACUUGACAAAGGUUGCAUUCAACGCUGACAUCUUCAGAAGAAUAGAUGUUUCCUGCCGAAAGUUGCCUAUAAAUUAAAAUGACCCCUUCCCUACCAAGACAAAGAAGAGCUUAAAUGAGUCAAACUCUAGAGAGCGGCAGAAAGGAGCCUUUCCUCCGUUUGUAAAAGUUUAUCUUCUUUUUUCUCCGGUCAGUCUUUAAGUGAAAGCUUAGAGUCUGAGUAAAGAAGAUUUCAUCACCUAUUUCCCCUAACUUGUAAUGUUAAUUUCUUUACUUUCCAUUUGUAUACUUCUUUGCAAUGUAUAUGUUCAUAUUGUGUAGUGGUCUAAGGCUUAUAUUCUUGAAUAUAUUGCAUGUUUAUACCUUUUCAAUCCAUCAUGUUUGUCACACCCCGCCCCGUAGACGUACUAGCUUGUCUUGUGAGACGUGGCGUGACUUGAGUAUCUUGACAUGUUAAACGCUAAAACACUCAGUCUUGAGGUCCAUACACUUUGCUUAAUCGUCUGACUUCUUUUUGUAACUUAAACUAUAGUCAUACUUUAGGCGAUAAAACAACUUAACACAAGAGAAGUAAACCAAUCUAAAAUUUUUAUUAACUUUUAAAAAACAAUGUGUUCUACAACACUUAAUACAAAUUACAAAAGUACAACUCUUAAGCUUAGAAAGUAAAAUGCAUGGCAGCUUUUCUUGCCUAGCAAACCCUUCACUUCUUCUCUACUUGGCCUUAACGCCUGAUUUCUUGAAAAUAGAAUUUAAAAACGUAAGUAUAUAAGACUUAGUGAGGUUUUAAGAAAACCUUUUUGCGAAAUACCUUUUGUAAACAUCAUUUCACCAAAUAUAUCAAAUCACAUAAAUUCAUCUUUUCAUAUAACAUUUCGUACAAAUGCUUCAUCUCGCAUAACCACACAUUAGUUACCAAACAUUCCUUUCACCAAGGAUCCCGAAUCAUUCUCCACGCUAAGGGUAUAAAAAGAGGAUAAGAAAUUGUAAGAAUCAUGGAAUGUAAGAAUUGUUAAACUAAGCGGCGAGAGUCUAUAAAAAGGGGAUAAGAAAAUGGCAUGGUAAUGCGAUCUAACUUGUAACAGAGAAAUGAAGGCAAGAAUGUCUACAUAUUACCAUGCAGAUAGGUGAUGAGAUGACCUUGAUGCAAUAUAACCCACUAACCAUACUUCUGAUUAAGGCAUGCUUCUCUCGAAGUCAUUAUAUGCUACACAUGGUUACUUUCAGAGAUCCAUAUGUCUAAAUACGAAUUGGUGAGUUAUAUCUAGAGGGAACUACUUAUGAACCACAUAAUAUUUCAUGUUUAAGGAUUGCUACCUCUUGGUACCCACUGUCCACACUUGUUCUCCUAUUGGGAUACAAAUUUUGGAAAUAAUCUUGCGAGGGGAGAUGAAACUCCUCCUUGCAAGCGUUAAUUAGGUUCUAGCUACUUUUCCUUUUGGGUAGUUGUCAACUAAAACUGGCCAAGCGAUGCAAAAAGCUCAACUAAGGCGAUAAGACUUAUAAGCAACUCUUCUUCUCAAGAACUUAUCAUCUACCUAAGCUACGAAUAACAUGUUGAUUGGUGGAAAGCAAAUGAAUGUUGAAUUGAAAAGUUAUGUAUGUAUGACAAAUACAAAGAAUGCAUGUUGUAGGCCAAUGCACAAUAUACAGAAUACAAACUACAAAUAAUACAAAAAUAUAAGACAAGGUAAUGAAAGAGUGUUACAAGGUAGAGGACACAAGGGAAUAGCCUUCGUCUCCACUCCAGCUACAUGCUCUCUUUGUGGUAUGUACAAACCUCUUGUGGCCCGUUCAGGCAGUUUUUGGCCCGUUCAGGCAUUCCUUCUUUGUUUGGGGAUGAAGUACUUUUAUAGGCAACUUUUCAAUGGAAAACUUCUAUUCUUCUAAGAUUGCCAGUGCUAAUGCUAGAGUUCACAUGUGAGAUCCAUACUCGGCUUCGUGUCGUUCUGGGAGCAGCCUCCCUUUGAAAAGUGUUUAUAUGGGUCAAUAACAUGGUGAAGAGAGGAGAAAUGUUCAUAGUAAGUGGAAGAAGGACACAUGUCAACAUAUCCUACGAUCUCCUUCAUGAGGUUGCACCAUGAGUUUCUAUGAUCCGCCUGCGUGUCGUCCUAGAACGACGACCAUUCCUUCGGAGAGCCUAGUUAUAGAAGUCAGAACAAUGCAAACUUCAUAAAUGGAUAGGGUUUCUUAGGUUAAUCUUCAACAAUUGUCUUUCUUUUCGGUAGGCUGUUAAAGCAUACUUCUGGGAUCUGAAAAUGGUAGGGUCACACUUAGGGGAUGAAUUAAGUUAGUUAAUGAAUCCUUGACCGAACAACAAUAACUAAAAACUAUAGGAAUAUGAGUUAUUCUAGUAUUAGUUAUUAGCUGAGAUUAUCUCAAUUCAGAAGAGGAGUAGUUGAUCAUCCUUCGGUGGCUGUUGCUCUAAACUUCUAAAGCAUUGUAGCAAAAGCUAAGGCAUUUGUUUGAUUAAGUUUCUUUGGUUGCUUAUUUUUGCUGAAUUGAUUGGAUUAUUUUAUAUAAUGGGUUAAGACAAAGAUAACUAAUAUGGUCUAUUUUUUGAUAUUUCAGCAUAGUCUUCUUCAUUUAUUCAACGGCUUAUGCGACGUUAACUGUUAAAAAUUAUGCGACGUGAAAAUCAAACCUAAAUAUGAUUCUAGUUAAUGAUGAUUUAUGCUUCGUCUUAUGGAAGUGCGUCUCAGAAUGUCAGGGAUGCAUAGAAUCGUUGGACAAAGGCCAAUGACAAGACCAAUGACAAGGCCCACAUCUAUCUCUUGUCCUAUAUGUCUGACAUAGUAAGCAAGAAACACGAAAGCAUGAUCACUGCACGUGAAAUCAUGGACUCCCUUUAGAUUAUGUUUAAGAAGAAUAAAAAAGAAGGUAAGUAUGAUUUACUUGUCUUAGAAACAUGUUUAGUAGAAAAUAAUCAAAAUGCUUAGAUACUUGAUUUAGGAGCCACUAGUCAUGUUUGUUCUUCUUUACAGGAAACUAGUUCCUUUAAGUAGCUCGAGGAGGAUGAAAUGACAUCAAGGUUAGAAAGAGAGAGAUGCCAUUUCAACUUGUAUAGUGGGAGAUGUUAAGUUGUCUUUCAGAAAUAGAUUUCUAUUUUUAGAAAACUUGUACAUAGUUCCUAAGAUUAAAAGGAAUCUUAUAUCUAUUUCUUGUCUCAUUGAACAAUCAAAUAAUGUAACAUUUUCUUUAAAUGAAGCAUUCAUUUCUAAGAAUGGUGUACAUUAUGAGAGUAUUGAACAAGAAAAUCGUGUGGGAAUGUCUUCUUCGAGUAGUAUAAUUGAAGAUGCAAUUAGUAGUGUUUUCGGUCUCGAUCAAAGCUAUGUAAGAGGAUUAGGAUUUGGUGUGACUCGAUCGAAGGUGUCUACAUCAAUUCAAAAAGAUAAAACCAUUGCAUCUCUAAAAGAAAAUGUAACAACCUAAUGUUAGAUGUAGGUGAGCUGAAAAGUAUGGUAGCUUCCUUAAUGAAGAACAAGAUAAAUUUAUCCUAACUCUUAAAAGUUCUUAAACUAUGUUUUAUAGUACAUUUUGACAUUGUUGUUUAUAUAGGAAAAAACAAGUGAAAAAAAUUCGAAUAAUCUUGUUAGAGUAUCAUGAUCAUCGAAAGAUAUUCCUACUCCUACUCCAAUCAUAAAUUUUUCAACGGUAAAUUCGUUUGUAACUUUAUUGUUCCUUUAUUAUUUUAAAUUAUUAUUGUUUGAGAUUUUUCUAACCAUAUUAUUCUUCAAAAAGAGUGUUACUACCAACACUCGCCAUAAGUGUUUGCUACUAGAUUGGGUUGUUUCAGGAGAAAUCAUUGUUGAAGGUAGAUGGUCUUCCAAUGAUCCAUCAAUUCUUGUUUCCCAUGUUCCUCUUGGCCCUAAUGUAGUUCGGGUGUGGGUUGAUACAGUGAAAAUACCAAAUUUCUUCUUAUGGAGACGUACCUCUGACAUUAUUGUUAUUGACAAUGUUGUGGGCACUACUAUAGCAUGGCUGAUGGAUGAAGCCAAACUAUGUAAGAAAUUUUAUUUACUUUGUGAAGUAGGUAUUUAUUUAGUUCUUUAAGUAAUUUAUUGUUAGAGUUAGAUAUUGAUAUUUCUUUUUAUUUUUGGUUAGAUGAUUGAUAUAUGGAGAAAACAUUGGGAGCAACACAUAUAUGUGAGAUAAUUUUGGUAUUACUACAAUUUAAACACAUUUUUUUAUCCUAUCAAAAUUUUGGGAUUAUAUAUAUGAAGUCAUUUUAUUUGAAUUAAGAAUUUACUUGUUCUAGUAGUUGAGGACUUUGUUGGAACUUAGUGUUGAUGAUUAUUUCAAACAUUUGAAUGUAUAUAAUGCUUUCUUCUUCUUCUUUUUGUAUGUUAUAAAUUUGAAUAUUUUGGUUGUAGUUAUGAUGAUGGAUUUGGAUGAGUGUGAAUUAUACCCUCUUAAUAUGACAAAUUAAGGCUUUAUCUAUAAAUAUCUAUAUGAUUAUAAUUUGAUUUUACAAUAAUAAUAUUGGAUAGGUGUUAUUAGAUCAAUUAUAGUUAUGUCUGUAUUAUUACAAAAAAAUGCUAUAAAUGGUCAAUCAACAAUAAAGUUUGUGAGUAAAAAUAGGUAUUUAUAACUUUUUUUUCAUUACAAUGAAUAAUGUUAAUAAAAAUAAGAGACCUUCAAUAACACAUCUAGUCUUUUUAUUGUUAUAACAUUUUUUUAUGAUACUUUUUCGAUAUCAUCAAACGUUUCCAUUAUAGUAAACUAUAGCUAUAAUAAAUCAAUUUUUUAUAUUGUUAUUUAUAGCUUUACAGAAACAGCUAUUAAAAUUCAAGUACUUUUUUCUACGACAACAUUCAUAAAACGCUAAAAAAAUAGUUUAUAGCAUAUGUUAUUAAAAUAACUAUUGAAUGGUUUUGAUAACGUUUUUUCGAACGCAAUAAAAUCGCUACAAAAAGUCUUUUAUAACAUUUUUUCAAUGUUAUUAAAAACGCUAUUGAAACAUUUUGAUAGCCCUUUUUCAAUGUUAUUAAAAUAGCUAUUGAAACGUUUUGAUAACACUUUUCCAACACAAUAAAAAAAGGGCUAUUGAAACGUUUUAAUAACGCUUUUCGAACACAAUAAAAAACGCUAUAUAAAUAUCUUUUAUAGCAUUUUUCAAUGUUAUUGAAAACGCUAUUGAAACAUUUUGAUAAUGAUUUUUCCAACGCAAUAUAAAAAACACUAUCCAAUUUUCAAUGGCGUUUUUUUUUUUCACGUUAUAAAAAGCAUUUAUAACAUCAUAUAUGUGCUAUCAAUAGAGACAUAUUAUAGCAUUUUGCACAGCGUUGUAAAAACAUCGGCUAUGACAACACUUCGAAAAUGCUAUCGAAAAUCAACCAUAGCGUUUUUGUUAUGCUAUCAUAACUCAUAUUUCUUGUAGUGUAAGUAAGACAUGUCACGUCAAGACUCUCAUAUUAUUAAUCACCUUAUAAUGUAUAAACCUUUCUUCACUCUUUCUUUUAUGCAAGUUAGUUGACAUUUUGAUCAUCUCACCCUCAUAUAAUCCCCUUUGCAGAAGCCUUUAGGAGUAAAUAGCUAAGUAGUUAUAGUUUAUUCUUGCAUUCUUUUAUACGUUAUUUAUCAUAACGCAUAGUUGAUAAGUAGACCCUAGAACUAAAAGAUUUGAUAUCAAUUCCAUGUGUUUGACCUUGGUUCAUUUGAAAACUUAUUGAUUUGUUUACACUUGGGCAAACAAUAGAAAAACUCGUACUCAACAAGGACUUAGUAAUUAUGCGAUGAAGAGAGACAUGGAGAGCAUCUCGCAUGCUAUGAUCAUGCUUAAUGACUUACCACAUAGAAUUAAUCAUGCAUAAACAACUUAAGUAUGAAUAAAAACAAAACAAAAACACUACCAUUUAGACACACAUUUACCUCACAUUGUAGAGCUUCAUACCGCCUAAAUGAAGAAGUAAGUCUUAUAACUAAUAUUUGAUAUCAAUUUCCUGUGUUCGACCCUGGAUUAUCCAAGAAACCUAUCUUUUCGCUUAUACUUGGAAAAGCAAUAGAAAAACUUGUACUCAACACAGGUUCGGUGCUUAUACGAAUAUUAGAAAUAUAAUGAGCAUCUUUCAUGUAAUCCGACCCUCAACAACCAAUUCCAAGUUUUUGGCACCGUUGUAAGUAUAUCUCUCCACCCACAAACAACGUGAUAUGUUUGAUACACCCGAUAUACUGCAGAUACAUUUAAUAUUUUUCACUUAUACACUUGAUAUAUGCUUGAAGUCCUACUUAUACACUUGAUACACUAUUGAUAUACACUUGUAAACUUGAUUUAUAUGCUUGAUAAUGAUUCACUUUAUCGAUAUGUUGAUAUGCUUUAAUAAUAUAUUGUUGAUAUACUUGAUAAUGAUACAUUGAGUUAUAUCAUUCAUAUACUUAACAAUACUAUAAUGAACUGCAUAAAAUUUUAAAAAAUGAAAAUCACGUAGUAAGUAUAUCAACCAACUAUUUAUAUAUAGUAUAAGUACAUCAUAACACCGAUAUACAAAACUGAUAAAAGUAAAACAAAAACAAAACAAAUGUAAAUGAAAUCAGAUUCAACUCAAAAUACAAAUCAAAGAAAGUAGAGAAAAAUCACAAACGAAGUUAAAUUGCUCCGACCAACAACCAUUAUAUUUCAUAUUGCAAUCAAUGCACUAUUGAUAUAUCCUAAAAUCAAGAUUAAGAUAGGAAGAAUAAAUCAUUUUUUUCCAUAUAAGAAAUGAUGAUUAGAGCCUUAAAAAGUGAGAGAAUGAAAAAAAAGAUGAUUUAGGACAUUAAAAAAUGAUAAGAAAUAAGUUAUUGAACGAUAGUCUGUAAAAAGUAAUAAAUUUAAGAUGAAGAUUAUUUUAAAAAGCGUCAUAUUUGCACAAUUCUAAAACAAUAUGCUAUAUUUGCUAUAUCAUAUUCUUAAAAAGCUAUAAAAGCAAUUUUUCAUAUAUAUAUAUUAUAUAAAAAAACUUAAAGUUGAAGGAGGCUCAAUCCCUCUUGAGUCUAUGCUAAAUCUGUACUGCUUGAAUCUUAGUUAAUUAGAUUUGAAUUAUCUAAAAUAAAUAAAUAAAACUUUAUUUAUAAAAAAUAAACAACACUUUAUUUAUUUAAUAAUUAAUUUGUUUACACUAGUAUAAAUCCCAAUAAUAUCAUCCUCAAGUUUAACUAUUGAACACAAAAUUUCAGAAUUAAAAUGAAAGUAAAACUUUUACUAAAAAAAGACUAUAUAUAUAUAUAUAAUUAUAAGAAAUAUCCUAGGACAUAAUUAUAAGAAAUAUCCUAUCACAUAUUUAUAAGAAAUAUAUAUCCCAUCACAUAAUUAUAAGAAUAUUCUAUCAUAGAAUAUUUUACUUUUCAUUUCAUCUAUGAUCGGCUCCAAUAACAUUAUUUCUAGUGGAGUAAUAUGGAAGGACCUAUCCAUCCCACUUUCUCACUCACACUACAAAAAAUUAAAAUAUGUGAAAAAUCAAAUAAAAACAAUAUCACAUUUUAAGGUAUGUUUUGAACAAUGGUGCUACCUAGAUAUCCAUAAGUAUUUUUCUUUUAUACUUCAAAUGUGUCCUAUAUAUGUAAAAACAGUAUACAAUAUGAACACCGUAUAGUCUAAAUUCCACAGUAGUGUCCUCUCCAAUCUUUAGGAUGUUUUAGUAAUAUGUAUCACAACUUUCUUUUGUUUUUUUCUCCUAUAUGAAGGUAAAAAUUCUUUCUCCUAUUUUAAGUUAUUUUUCUCUUGAAUCUAACCACCAAAAAACUUUCUUUACCAUAUUUUUAUGUUUUAAAAAAGAGAAAGGAAAAAAGAGUAAGUUCAUCAGAACUUAAUUGAUUAAGUCAUUCAAGAUUGGAGUCUCACUUUUUUUUUAGAGUAAAAAGAAAAUAAAAAGAAGGAAAAUAGAAAAGAAUGGAAAUCUAUGUUUAUUCAUGAUUGGAUGUACACAAUGAUAUCCAUCUACAAUAACCACGUAUCCCACACAUAAAAAUAAUGAAUCACCGAAGAAAAACAUUAAUAAUCAGAACUCCAAAGAGAAUACCAUACACAAAUAUUGGGAAGAAGUUAUAAUCAAGGAGAAAUUAACAACACUACAAUUAACAUAAAUAUCAAAUAUCAAAUUUUUCCAUUUCAAUAAUUAAAACCAACACCAAAAUGGAUCGCACUCCACUCUUUGUGUCGUUUGAACUCAAUCGCUCUAAGCAAAUACCAUUGCCAAGAAAGCUCCGGCCACGGCACCACCCACCAUCAUUCCCCGGCUAACGCUUGCCGCCCCAUUUCCUUCCGGUGGGGGUGGCGGUGGGCUUGGUCCAGGGCUGUUUGUUGGGACAUUCCCUUCUGGUGGUGGUGAUGGAGGAGAUGAAGUCGGAGGUGAGAUUGGACCCUCCUUUGGUGGCGCUGUUGGAGGCGAGCUAGGUGAUGAUGGUGGUGGAGAUGUAGGAGGUGAAGCUGGGGGCUGGCUAGGAGGUGAUGAUGGUGGGGUCGAAGCAGGUGGUGGGGUGGCUGGAGGAGGAGUAGCCGGUGGUGGGGUUGCUGGAGGAGGAGUAGCCGGUGGUGGGGUUGCUGGAGGAGGAGUGGCGGGAGGUGGGGAUGCUGCCGGGGGAGGAGUAGACGGGGGAGGGACGGCGGGGUGGAAGGUGGCUGAGCCGGAGCAGCACCUGGAGCUUGAGCCAUACAAGAAGUGGCAAAUAAGGCUAAAAACAUUACAAAUUGGAAACCCAUUUUCAUUCUCUCUACCAAACAAAAGAUAGAGAGAGAUGUUAAAAGAGAAAAGGGUUUGUGAAGAGAGAAAAAUUUAGAGAAAGUGUGUUUAUUGUGAAGUUGAAAUGAAUAGCAAUAGGAAAGAUAUAUAUAUAUCAUAUAUGUGAGUAUGUGUAUAAUAGAAAGGAAAGAAAAAGAAAAUAGAGAGAGUGGUGAAGUUGGGGACUUGAAAGACAG